This 73051-nucleotide long non-coding RNA is filed under the name Ananas comosus (pineapple). Its description in RNAcentral is "long non-coding RNA (ACOM_LNC031727)". Lineage: Eukaryota; Viridiplantae; Streptophyta; Magnoliopsida; Poales; Bromeliaceae. The record is from RNAcentral.
GGUUUGGGUCCGAAUCUGGAUUUUGGUCCGGAUUUGGAAACUAUUUUGAACCCUACCUAUUAAAAAAUCUGGUUCUAGAUCAAGUUGGAUAUGAAUAUAAAGUAUUUGAAUCCAUACCUGAAAUUUUUAUUAUUUUUUUUACCCGUACUAUACAUUUUUUAUUGGGUUCGGAUACGGUCCAGAUUGGAAAUGAAAUAUCAGGUAUUUUGGAUAGCUCUACAUAACAUAAUCUAUUGAUUAAAAUAUCAUGAUAUACAGUAAAUAAUAUAGUCUUAAAACAAUACCAAGAAAAAAAAUUAAGAUUAAAAUUUUACAGAUAGAUAAAAUAAAAUAAGUAUUUAUUUAUUUUAUUAAAAAUAUAUAUAUAUUGGUGUACACAAAUAGUCUAAAUAUUUAUAAUUUAACGAAUACCUAUUUGUUUUAAUGAUAACUUCACAUACCACCUCGGUACUUUCACACUUUCUCACUUUAGUAUCUUAUGAUUUAAAGUAUAUCAAUUUAGUGUCCGGUGGUUUUUUUUUUUUUUUUAUUAUCUAUUUUACUUAUUUUUUUCAUUAAAUCAGUAACAAAGUUAAAAUUAAAGGGUACAAAAGUAAAUAUUUGAUAAACUUAGAUGGGUAUCUAAAGUUUUUUUAUAUAUAAUUUAACGAAAUAUUAACGAAAAAAUUGAUAAAAAGAUAAAAAUGAAAUCACAGGAUACUAUCUUAAUACACUUUAAACUACAAAAUACUAAAGUGUGAAACUACAAGAGUGGUAUUUGAAAUUUGGGAAAACUUUAAAUACCUCCCUGUGGUUUCGCACUUUCUCACUUUAGUACCCUGUGGUUUAAAGUGUAUCAAGUUAGUACCCUGUGGUUUCGCACUUUCUCACUUUAGUACACUGUGGUUUCAAGUGUAUCAAAGUUAGUAUCCUGUAGUUUUAUUUUUGUAUCAAGUUAGUACCAUGUGGUUUCAAUUUUUCCUUUCUAUUAUCCAUUUCGGGUAUAUAAUUUAACGAAAUAUUAAACCACAAAAUACUAAAGUGAGAAAGUGCGAAAGUGCGGAAUCACAUGGUACUAAUUUGAUACACUUUAAACCACAGGAUAUUAAAGUGAAAAAGUGCGAAACCACAGAAUACUAAUUUGAUAUAUUUUAAACCACAGGGUACUAAAGUGAGAAAAUGCGAAACCAUAGGGUAGUAACUUGAUACAUUUUAAACCACAGAGUACUAAAAUAAGAAAGUGCGAAACGACAAGAGUGGUAUUUGAAGUUUCCCCUUGAAAUUUAUCCUCGAUUUUAUUACACAUAAAAUAGAGUCGAGUACUUUUGCACUGCAAAUUUGCGGAUACGAUAGAUCUCGCCGGGUCUAGUCCCACCACCUCUCGAGUCUCAACUUCUUAGGAGCGCCGUUCGCACCCAUUUCCCUGCAGCGACCCAAGCAUAUAUGAGGUUUCGACCUUUCCUUUCUCCCCUCCACACCCGGCCGUGUCAAAACCCUCGCCACCGAAACCCUCACCGCUCCUCCUUCCUCUCCUUAAACCCUAGCUCCUCCUCCUCCAUGACCACCGGAGCCCGCCCCCUGCCCUGCGACCCCGAGGAGGACCCCGACGAGGCGAUCUGCGCCGCCCUCGACGGCGCCUGCUCCCUCUCCGACGCGGCGGGGCCGCCGCCGGGGCCCACGGAGAUCCCGCUCUCCGGCGAGCUCCGCGUAGCGCGCGCCUGGGCCCAUUGGAGGCGGAUCGGCGCCCCGAGGCUCGUGGUGGCGCCCAUGGUGGACAACUCCGAGCUCCCCUUCCGGAUGCUCUGCCGCAGGUACGGCGCCGAGGCCGCGUACACGCCGAUGCUCCACUCGAGGAUCUUCUCCGAGAACGAGAAGUACCGUAGGAUGGAAUUCACCACCUGCAAGGUGAGAUAUAAUAUAUUUUUGAUGCUUGGGUUUGGAUACAUGUUGACUGGUUAGGGUUUUGUUUUGAUCAAUUAUUAUAUAAUAGAUCAAACACUAACUAAAAGGCAUCUCCUUCUUUACUGAAGCUAUCCAAUUUGAUAGUUAAUGAGACAAAUUAUUCAUUUUAUACGAUUCUACUCCAUUGAGCAUAAAUAUUGUCAUAUGUUAACUAAUUUCCAUAAAGCUUUCAUCCGAGUUUAGCAUUCUUCCCAAAAUUUUUGGGCCUAUGUGACAUAAGCUGGAAAUUAAAGAAUUUUUUUAUUUUAUUUUAUGCAGAGUGAUAAUUUAGACAAAGGCUAAAAUGCAAGGUGUUUCUUUUUUAAUUUAGCCCAAUUUUUAAGUUCUUAUGAAAAAAAUUAGGCCUGGGAAUACUUACUGGUCUUUUAAUCAAGUUAGAUGUCACUUUUCCUACAGGAUUUGUGGUGUCAGAUACUGUAGGCUCACAAGUUGUGUUCUUUGGAAGAAUAGGUUUUGUGAACUAUUUUCCCUCAUAUGUGAAUUUAUUGAUUUGCCGAUCACUAGCAGCUUAAUGACAAUACCACAUUCAUUAUCAUGCCAAUUUAUUGUGUUGCGCAGGUGUUUAUUUCAUAUAUAUAUAAAGAUGUGAUAGGGCUUAGCUAAACAUAGUAUAUGAGCACUAACUUCAAGAUGUUGUUUUAUCUGCUAAUACAUGCAGGAGGAUCAUCCACUAUUCGUCCAGUUCUGUGCAAAUGAUCCUGACAUAUUGUUGGAAGCAGCAAAAGUGGUGGAACCUUACUGUGAUUACGUCGACAUAAAUCUAGGGUAAUUUGUGAUAUUUCAUGUUUCUCAAUGCAAGUAACUAAUAUGUACUCCAGUAAAUGGCAAGAAUAUAGAAGCAUACAAAGAAUUUUUUAUGUCAUAAAUAGUUAAGCUAUUCAUUAAUGAUCGGGGGAACAUUACUGACUACCAUCUUUGGCUAUAUUAUUAUCAAUUUUAGAUGAUGAACGAAUCUUAAUGUUUGCUUUUUACGACAUAUCAUUAUACUCUGCAAUUAACAUUUGUACUAUUAUAUCUAGCUUAGGAACAUCCAUUGAAUUAUCCCAUUGGCCAUAAAAGGACAUGAGGCUCUGCGUUCUAUGCCGCUGUUUCUUAAACUUGAAAGCAACUAAGGUAUAAGGCCCUAAAUACCCUACUAACUGUAGUAGCUUGACCAAAAUGGAUCUAACAAAUAUAAUAAGUCCAAAAUCCUUAAUGUAUGAGUAAGCUAGUGUUAGUUAUCUAUUUCUUUGUGCAACAUGUUGUGAAAUGUUAUCGUAUUUCAAAAUUUAUCUGACAGUAUUUUCAUUAGCAUGUUUAGCUGGUCUUUCUGUAUACUGCUAACCUGACUAUAAGAUAAUCAGUGAUUAAAAGCUAUUAUAAUUUCCUUCAUUUACUGUAUCUGUUUUCUCUAACCUUGCAGUUGCCCGCAGAGAAUUGCCAGGCGAGGCAAUUAUGGGGCUUUCCUCAUGGACAACCUCCCUCUCAUCAAAUCCCUCGUCCAGAACCUCUCGAUAAACCUCCAUGUCCCAGUUUCAUGCAAGAUACGGAUUUUUCCGAGCCUAGAAGAUACGAUAGCAUAUGCAAAGAUGCUUGAAGAGGCCGGAUGUUCUCUCCUAGCCGUCCAUGGCCGUACUAGAGACCAAAAAGAUCAGAAGAAAAUCCAAGCCGAUUGGGAUGCUAUAAAGGCUGUUAAAGAUGCCCUUAAAAUACCUGUCCUCGCAAAUGGAAACAUUCGCCACAUGGGAGAUGUCUAUAGCUGUUUGGAUCACACAGGUGCCGAUGGUGUGCUUUCAGCUGACUCUCUUCUUGAAAAUCCAGCACUUUUUGCUGGAUUUAGAACAAUGGAGUGGAAGGAGGAAGAAGAUGGUGAUGGUGGUUUGGAUCAGGCAGAUUUGGUGGUAGAGUAUUUGAAGCUGUGUGAGCAAUAUCCUGUGCCUUGGAGAAUGGUAAGGUCUCAUGUUCAUAAAAUGUUAGGGGAUUGGUUUAGGAUGCAUCCCCAGGUGAGGGAGGAGCUCAAUGCUCAGUCCAAGUUGACUUUCGAGUGGCUUCAUGAUAUGGUGAAGAGGCUCAAGGAGCUUGGUGGAAGAAUUCCGCUUUAUCAGAAGGGUGGUGCUGAAGAGAGAAUAAUGGCAAAUGGACAUGCAGCUUACAAUUCAUGAUCCUUAUAAACAUGUUGGUUUUUUGAUUGCUUGUUGUCUUGCAGCACGUAUAGAAGUUAACAGUAUUCGGGCAUCAAUUAAAAUCAGGCACCCAGAGCCAGAUUUUUUGCUAAAUUAUUUACUGAUGUAUACUUUGAUCCUUGUGGUAGAACCCAGAGACAGCCAAUUAUGGGUUUACGGAAGCGAACACAUUCUCCUUACUGAUUUACAUUCACCUGCUGUUUAGUAACAACAUUGGGAGCAGGCCCACGGAAUCAAAUUAGAUCACACAGAAAUUUUGUUAAAUUGGGAGUGAUUUUUUUUAAAGCUUGUUGAUCUAGUCACAAUUAUAAUGUCAACACCAUUUUCUUGCCCGGUUCUUGGUUCAGCAUAUUGAGACGGUCAAUGUGAGCAAAUUGUUUACUCCACUGUCUCCAUAAUUUUGAGUUGUCGUUUAAAAGUUUGCCGACGACUUCUCUUUUUUGUGCAAGGAUGUUUCCUUCAUUCUAUGUUGUGCCGCACUUUGCACUAUGUAUCAUUUAUGCUGAAUCCUACGAUCUGCUCUAAUAAGUGAUUUAACAGAUAUUUGUUGUUGUGCAACAUUUUGAGUUGUCAUUUGAAUUAUCUAUUGUUCUUUUCUUCGCCUUACUAGAGGGAGGAUUCAUUCCUUGUUUGUCGACCAUUGUGUAUUUACUUCAUUUGAAGCGGCAAUUCUCUCAUUAGUCAUUAUGGUUUAACACUGCAGAAAUGUUUCUUCAUCAAAUGCUUGCUUUUAUGGCUCUAAUUGUUGAAAGCAGUGAACUGAUUUAACAAAAAGUACUGCUACAGGUACUGCAGAAUGCCUUCUCUUUUGGACUGUUGGUAUGUUGGUAUGCAUGAUGUGGGUAGUCUUUUACACACCGUCCCCAAACGGCAUUAAAUGGGGGUCGGAUUUGUUAAUCUCACUCCUAACGAGUUAUUCCGGAAUAGUUCGUUAAUUUAAAUUUUUAAUUUAUAUUUAUAUUUUAAAAUUUUAAUUCUCAAUUUUUUAAAUUUAAGAAUUUAUAAUCUAAAUUAAUAUUUAUAAUUUUAAAUUUUAAAUUAUUAUUUUUAUUUUUUAUUUACGCCCGUAGUUUCUCAAAUCGUAUCUUUUAGCUGUGGUUGGAAACACAGUGGCACAUUUGGUUUUCAAUUUUUACCAAGCAUUUAUGCAGAUCUUACAGUUGUAGUCUAUUUUGUAAUGUUUAUGACUUCACAAACCACCAAAAAAAAAAAAAAAAUUCUAUUUACAGAUGUACAUAUUUAAUAAGUAUUAUAUUAGUUUAUUAAUAUUAUUAUUAACUGAGAAGAAAAAUAUUUCAGAGAAUCCAAAAUUAUUUUCUAUAUUUUUAGUACUAUAUUAUUUUUUCAAUCAAACAACUAUAUAGAAUUUGGGUUUUUCUGGAAUUCAAAUCCCAAACUCAUUACCCAUUCAUCCGUCCACCCGCCAAAAACCACCACCACCACCGUCGUCCUCUUCACCCCUCCUUGCACGGCGGCAGCGGGUCACCGCAGAGCCCGGCAUUCCCUCUAAACCCCCCGGCUGGCACCCGCGCCUUGUGCGGCGGUAUCGGUCCUGUCAGCCGGUUGUCCGACACAUCGAACGCCUGCAGCCUCGGCAUGUCGAGCAGCCCCCCCGGUAUCCCCCCUUCGAGCCCGUCCCCUGCCAUCCUCAACUCCGUCAACGACGCCAUCUUCGCCAUCGUCCCUGGUAUCCGCCCCCCCAGUUCCGGGUUUCCUGACACCGCGAACCUCUCCGCCGACCCCAUCGCCGCCAAUUCCCCGACGUCCUCGUCCACCCCUCCCGUAAACCGAUUCUUCGAUAGGUCCAGCGUCAUGUAGUACCCUAAUGGGUCGCUCGUUGCCUUUGCGAGCACCGGUCGGAUCGGCCCGUAGAGCUUGUUGUCCGACAGGUCGAGCUCCAUGAGCGUUGCAAGAUUCUUGAAGCUUCCAGGGAUUGCCGACCGGAGCUCGUUGCGCGAGAGGUUGAGGGUGGCGAGCCCUGUCAUGUUUCCGACCCACGGCGGUAACUCGCCGGACAAUUUGUUGCUCGAGAGGUCGAGCUCCCCAAGGGAGGACAUCGCGGCGAGCCAUUCGGGCAUUGGGCCGGAAACGCCGAUCCCGGCGAGAUGUAGCUUGAACAGGCCCGGCAUUUUGCCGAGCCAGCUCGGCAAAGCGGGUUGAUUGAUUGGAUUGAAGGAGAGGUCGAGCAAUUGGAGACUCUGGAGGCCGGCGAUCUCAUCGGGGAUUGGGCCAGUUAGGUUGUUCCGUGAGAGGUCCAGAGUUAGUAAUCGGGCUAAAUUGCCGAUGCCGGAGGGGAUUUUUCCGGUGAACUGGUUGUUGCCGAAGUAGAGGGUGUCGAGUGAGGAGAGGCUCCCAAUCGACUCCGGUAUCUCUCCGGUGAGCUCGUUGCCCAAUAGAUACCACCGCUGCAUGCUCCGGAGAUCGCCGAUCGACGGCGGGAGGCUUCCAGAGAGGCGGUUGCUCGAGAGACGGCAGAAUUGGAGGGACACCAUCUUGGUGAAGGAAUGUGGGAUGGCGCCGGUAAGUCGGUUCUCGGAGAGAUCGAGAGCGGCAAGUUUGGUGAGGUUGCCGACGGAUUCCGGUAUGCCGCCGGAGAUUCGGUUCUUCGAGAGGUCGAGGUCGGCGAGGUUCCGGAGAUUUCCGAUCUCCAUCGGAAUUUUGCCGGUGAGGCCGUUGCUUUGGAGAUCGAGUCUUUCGAGGGCCGAGAGCUUUCCGAUGGACGGCGGGAUAGCGCCGGCGAAUUGGUUUUCAUCGAGGGCGAGGAAUUUGAGGGAGGACGAGGCGAAAACGGAUGGCGGGAUCGCGCCGGAGAGGCGGUUGCCGUUCAGGAGGAGGAAUUCGAGGCGACGGAGGCCGGAGAAGGACGGGGGGAUCGGGCCGGUGAGGCUGUUGCCGGAGAGGCGGAGCUCGGUCAAUAAGGAGAGGCGGCCGAGCGACGGCGGGAGCGGUCCGGUGAGUUUGGCGAGGCCAGCGAGGGAGAGAAUUCGGAGGCCGGUGAGGUUGCCGAGGGCCGGGGAGAGGGUGCCGGUGAGGGUCACGAUUUCGAAGUCUUGCCCGGCGCCUGAUAGGGUGAGGUUGGAGACGUGACCGCCGGCCCCGGCUGGGUCGCAGGUGACGCCGUACCACCCACCGCAGCAGUCGGCGGUGGCGGCGGACGGGUCCCAGGUGCGGAGCAGGCCGUGGGGGUGGGUGGUUAUGNAAUUCGGAGGCCGGUGAGGUUGCCGAGGGCCGGGGAGAGGGUGCCGGUGAGGGUCACGAUUUCGAAGUCUUGCCCGGCGCCUGAUAGGGUGAGGUGAAAGACAGAAGCAGAAGAGUAGGAGGAGGAGAAGAUUGAAGUGGAUGGAGAUGCAGGGAAUGAAAUUGUUUCCCAUGGAAGUUGCUGUAGGAAGUUGCUGUAGGUGUAGAGGUUGAUUAGUUUCUAAUAAGAAUUGGAGUUGGGUGAGAGGAUAUAUAUUAUUCUUUUGGUGCAAUUAAAUUAAAGAACAUUGUUUGGAACAGAAGAGGAAUGAGAUUCAAUGCUUUAUAUGGUAAUAAUACAAUUUGAGUGUGUGUUUGUGUGUGUGUGUGUGUGUGUGUGUGAGUGUGUGAAUAAUGCUUACGAGAAACUCGCAGUGCAGGUGUUCACAUGAAAAGGGUGCGGCAAAUGCAGCGAGGAACGGAAACGGCAGGGUUCUGGAGCUGUGCUCCACACCAGGCUUUUGACUCUGGUUUUGAACUUUGAAGAGUUAAAAAAAGCAACAAAAAUUCAAAUCUCUCUCUCUCACACAGGUUUUUUUUUUAUCAAAAGUUAUAAAACUUAUCCAAAAAUUAUAAAAUUUAGGCACAUUGCUUACUUAAAUGACAGCAUAGUUACGUAAAUAACGAAAAAAAUACUUUUGAUCAAGCAUGGAAUAAACAACGCAUUCAAAUGCUGAAGUAGAAAAGCCAACAGAUGACGCGAAUUAAACUUAUUAAAAGAUCAUUUAUUCUGAUCAAAUCGUUUCGUAGCCACAUGCGCCGCAACAAGCCAACUAUCCACUAUAUCUUAUUUCUUCAAUUUUUCUACCAGUUGAGCUGCAACAUUUUCAAACUUAAUUUAGAAAGUGAAAAGGAUGCAUGAAGACCACCUGAUUUUUUUAUUUUUGUUCAUUUAUAAAUAUUUGUCUGAACUUUCAAUUUUGACAAUUAGAUCAGCUAAAUGUUCAACAUACACCUUUAUUUAAUUAAAUGUUUAAUUAUCUAAUUAUUUUGGUUGCAUGCAUUGCAUAUAAUUUUAUAAAUAUUCAAAAUAUUAAAAGAAAUUAAUUUUUGUACAUAUAAAGAAAAAUUUUUAAAAAAGUUCAACCUAUUCUUUUGUCGCCAUAUUUAAUCAUCAAAAUUAAAAGGAAAAAAAAUAAAUUCGUGAAAUUUUUUUGGAGUUACAGGAUACUCCAUUUCAUUUGGACCAAAACUACGGUAUUUAAACUGUAGAAUUUUUUUACUGCUCAUCCAAACAGGACCUAAUUGCCAAAUUAUAAGUUUAGCAAGGUACCUAUUUGCAAACCGCUAAACAUUCAGGGGUCUCUACACAUUUUUUUAUUCUAAGAGAUAUAAACGUGUUUGGGAUGGUUAGAUGAUGAGGAUUUAAAAUAGAUGGUUCGAGGGUGAUGAACCCCGCUUGGAUGUUUUCUUUGAGACACACACAUCAUGUGGAGGCAUGGAUAAAAGGAAUAAAGGGCUCCCCUUUUUGUGUUUUUGUUUACACAAUUUUGGUCCAUAAUUCGUAUGCAGCACAGCAGUGGAGCCCAGGUGAAAGAGUGUGGGUUAUUAAUUACUUGUUAUUUUCUAUUAAUUUCUGUCUGGCUUUUACUUACUUUGCUGGAUAAAUCUGGUUCAUCAUAAACAUGGCGUGGAUAUUGGUGAUAUGAUCAGAUAAAAAUUGAUUGGCAGUGUUGAGCCAAUUAGGCGCGGACAGGUGGUACGCCGAUAUUUCAUUUAAAGGUGGCAAUUUUGCUGUACACCGGGAGCAUCGGAAGGGUUUUGAAGGAGAUGAACCGCCGCGAAAAUUAAGGGAGAUUACAAUAACCGCAAGCAGUUUCAAACGGUUCCGAUCGGCUGAAAGUGGUCCGGAAAAUCAAGAAAAGUGGCCGAUCAUGUAUAGGUAAUAACUGAUCAUAAAGGGCGAUCUAUAAAUAGAUCAAUAACGCCCUAAAAAGGGGUCUUUUUCCUGUGAACAAAAGACCGCCCUUAUUUCCUUAUAAUUUUUUCCAUUUUCUAGAAGUAGUAUACUUGUAAUUUUUACUUUCCCGCAUUUACUGUUUUUUUUCUAGGAGUAGUUCCUAAAUAGAUCAACCGAGUCUGUAUGCCAUCCGGCACAUUCAACCCUUGUACUUUUUCUCAAGCUUAAUUUCCAAGGCUUUCGGCUCUUCAAGCCGUUUAACUGGUGUGUGUUUCUUCUAUUCGGCUUAUCUACCGAGUCAAAUUUGUAGUUGGUCCGUACAUUCGGUUCAUUUCAGCCGAAUCGAAUAUUUAAUAGAGUUUUCGAACUCGGCUGAUCCGAUCCAUCGUCAACCGAAUCGUUUGAUUCAGUCGAAGGGUGCAAACUUCGAGGGUCACUAUUCGAAUCCGUUUUUCAUCCCGACACACUCCCCGAGAAAGAUUUUGACUAAGUCAAGGGUUAGAAAAUUCGGCACACAACAGUCAGAUUUAAGAAUCAUGAAUCAGUGGAGAUUGUUGACCUAAUGGGCCAGUGUCUUGGCUUAUAGCAGAAGAUCGGGUUGGACCGAGUUAUGUUCAAAGUGGCUUGAGGCUAGUUCAGCUGAGAUACAAUUAAGACCGUGAGUGUCUGUGUUUGUACGUUUUAAGUGAAUUAGUUAUAUAUUUCUAAAAAAUCGAGUUUUCGGAAUUAAUGGUUGGUGUCAACUAUCCAACAGUGAUGAUACGAAAGUUUGGAAGGAUUACAAUAGUUUCCUAUUAUCAAAAUAAUUAGAAUAUUAUGUUAGAGUAAGCCUAUUUAUUAUUAUUAUUACUAUUAUUUUUAUUUUCUUUUGUUGAAAGGUUGUGUCUCUUUUGUAGAGUAGUGUCUUUUAAAUUAUUCUGUGAAGAUGUGUCUAUUUGUGUCUAUUUGUGAAGAUGUGUCUAUUUGUGAAGUGAUAUAGGGAUAUAUAUAUUUUGAAGGGAUAUGUCUCUUCGCGCGGGACUUUUUGUUAAAAAAAUUGUCCCCCUAAUAUUCUAUAAAUAAGGGACGUGAUUUAUUUUGUGUAUGAAGUCAAAUUGUAAUUGAGUUUAUUUUGUAAAUCAAUAGAAUUUUGUUUUCACAAUUACUAUAUAUUUACAUUACUUUAGAGAUAGACCCACCAAAACUUGGUAUCAAAGGAAGAUUGUUAAUUAAGAAGAGGAAACUCUGUUGGAAGAAAAUGAUUAAUCAACUUUUUCAACUCCAAAUUUUAAAAUUGGUAAAAGAUAAUUAUGAAAAUUUAUGCAUUCAAAUAAAAGCAUUAUUUAGCUCUCAAGAUAUUUGGAAUGUCAUUAAUAAUGGCUAUUGUGAAUAUAUGGAACUAGAAGAAGUGCAAUUAACCGAACAUCAACGGAACGACUAAAAGAAUGCAAAAAAAAAAAAAAAAAAAGACAAAAACCUUCUUUUCACUCAUCAAAGCAGUAAAGGAGUCGACAUUCGAGAAAAUUGCCAAAGCAACUUCAAGCAAGGUGAUAUGGGACGUCAUUUCCACCAUCUUGAAAGGAGAUGAAAAAGUAAAGUGGAUUUGUCCACCAAAGCUUUGAGUGAAAUCAAUAAUUAUUCGCAUGAAGGAGUCCGAAAGUGUUGUGUAUUUUGUUUCUUGCAUUCUGGUUGCUGUGAGCUAAACAAAGCAAAAUAAAUAACAACUCGAUGAUGCACGAGCCAUAUAUAGGGAUGAUUUUUUGCCUUUUGCCACAAAAGUUUGAGCAUAUUAUUGUUGACAUAGAAGAGUCAAAGAAUACCAAUCCUUCUCCAUCAACCAAUUGACGGAAUCUCUCCAAUUACAUGAGCAAAAAUUACAAAAGAAAAUUGAAGCCAAGUCAACUGAACACUCCCUCAAGUCGAAAGUAAAACUUGAUAAUCAAAAGGGCAAAAGUUGCCAAGAAACUAACAAAAGAAAUAAGAAUGAAAAGUGAUAUAGUCAUAACCGACAUAGUAGGAAAAAAGAUGGUCGCAAUUUACGAUGCUGGAUUGCCACAAAAAAUAGUCGGUACAAUAGUUUGUAAUACCUAUAGCCACAAAAAAUAGUGGGUACAAUAGUUUGUAAUACCUAUAGUCUCGAACCCCUUCUUGAAAUCUUAUUUUAUUUUAUUUUGCGUACAGAAUUUUGAAACUUUUGACUUAGCAGUAGACCAUAGUUCACCCUAAUUGACCAAGCAUGGUCUUUCCAGGCUCACUAGAUCCUCCCACUUACUCUCUUUCUCCCUUCGGUUUCAUCGCGCUACUGCCCUGCACUACCAACGGGGUGGUGACACGUGGUCUAUUUUCCCCUCCUUUUUAUUCUUUCUUCUCUUUACAAAUCUCCCACCAUUUCCUAUCUUUCUAUUUUUCUUCUUCUCCACUACUAUCUAGCUCUCUUUUUCUUUCUAUUUCUUCCAAUCUUCCUACUGUAUCUCCACCGUGACACUCGAAAUCCAAUUUUCUUCUUAUUCUUUUCCCUCUUCUUUUCUUUCUCUUCUCCUUCUUUUCAUCACUUUCCUUGUACCCACGAUGCCUCUAUCUCCAACUAGGUCACCACCCUUUGGCAUUUGGGCAGCUUACACGUUGAUGGGAGACCGGGGUGAGGAUCUUUGGUUUUGGCUUGGAACGAAAAAUUUUGUGCGUGCAAGAACCAACAGUAAAAGCACUUGAAAACUCGGACUUCUAUUUUCUCUCAUUGCUUUUUUUCUCUUUUGUUUCGACUUAGCCCAAACAACCUACUAGUUGUAGGACAAUGUGCAAUUGGGUGAAACUAUGCCCUACCCCUCACCGCAUUCCUGUAGUGUUCGUAUUCCAAAAUUAAACAUUGCAGUAUUUGGCAGUCGAUCAAGGGCGUUGACGAUCAUCCAAUGGUGUGUAAAUCAAACGUUGGCAGCGGAUUAACAAAUACUCAAUUGUCUAGAUAUCGAUGGUCGACCAGCUGCUGGACAAUGGUCGAGCGAUUGCUGGACAGCAAUCAACCGCAAUAAGGUUAUAGCAUAUCUAAGUCUACUUGAUGAGUUAGAAUUCUUACACUCCUUUCUCUCUUUUUAAUAGGAACUUAAAGGGUUUCUUUUGAGUGUCAAACAGUGCAGUUUAAUCUCAAAUAAUGCAACUUUUAUUUUAGAUAAUACAACUUAGCCUCUUAUAGUUUUAAAUAGUAUAACUCUCAAAAUAGUGUAAUUUUCGUCUCAAAUAGUGCAACUUAUUAUUCUUCUUCCUUCUUCUCUACUCUUGGCCUUUUAUGUAGAAGCCAUAACACAUGAUUGCCUUCCUAAGAAAAGUAAUUUUUUUUUCUUUUUUAUUCUUUCUUCUUAUUUUUUUUCUUCCACCUCCGCAUCUACGCUAUGCGCUCCCUCCCUCGCCCACUGCUAUAGCAGCUGCCAACACUCCGAUGCGCUUUCUUUCCCCAUCAUCCUCAAACCCUGUGGCACUUUCAUCGUCGCCACCAUCACCAACCAUGGCCACACCCUCUGUCGUAGCCUCACAUAUGUGAUUUGCGCCAUAUCCGAGCUGGCAUCAAUACAUAUGUGAUCAAGAUGAGAGAGGAGCGCAAUGUCGACGUGGGAACAGUAGAGAAAGGGAAGGGAGAGAAAGCGGGAGAAAAAAGAGAAGAAGAAACGGCGAGGAGGAAAGAGACGAAACAUAAGGAGAAAAAUAAACGAGAGAAAAAAAAAAGAAAGAGAAAAAGGAAUAAGAAUAUUUUUGUCAAUUUACUAAAAAUUCGGAUCGAAUCUAUAAAAUCCAAAAAAUAUAAAUUAGCCCGUUUUUACAAAAAAAGGCAAAAACAAUGGAUUAUUUUAUGUAGAAAGGCCAUAAUAUAUAUAGAUGAGUCUUCUUGAUGCCAAAAAUUAUUUUCGGGAUUAAAAUUUACUAGAUUUAUUAUCUAAUUUUAACUAUUAAAUGGUAAAAGAAUAUUUUAUUUAUUGCAAGACUGAAUUUAUUAGUUUAACAUCAGAAAUUUUUUUAUACUUUAUUAUUUUUUUAUCAUUUGCCCAAUAUUAGUCAUUUUUUUAAUAUAAAUUGAUGGCCAAUUUGCAUAAAAAAUCCAUAAGCUUUGAGCUUUUGCAAAACUGAGCCACAUUUUUCAAUUUUGCAGAUUCAAGCCAAAUUUUUUGCCAUCGGACGAAAAUACCCUUAUUCCUUUUCUCUCUCUUCUUUUUUUUUCCUUCGUUAUUUUUUUCUCGAGGACGCGCUCCAGAUCGCCACCACCCGCCUCAAGGACGAGUUCCGCCACCUCCUCCUCAGCAGUGCCCUCCCCAUCGCCUCCUCCUCCGUCAACGAACCCACCUCCUCCUUGUGCCGCCUCUCCCUCUCCCAUGGCGUCCAUGGCCUGCAUGGCAUCGGCCUCCAUGGCCUGCAUAGCGUCGGUAUCGAGCGGGACCAGCGCCGCUUGCACGUCAUACUGUAGCGGCCACUAGCCGUUGCACAGAACCGUGAACAGGGCGGCGCGUAGCAGCGCAACGUCGAUCCAUUGGAAGCUAAGCGUGAAGCCGACGUCCGAGAAGCCUGCGGCGGCCACGCGGUUGUCGUUCUCGGCGACCACCGUGAGGGGCAUCCGGACGCCGAGCGUGCCGGACUGGUCAUUAUCGAGCCAGCCUAGGUGCGCCGCUGGCAUGUCAAACGGAGGGGAAGAAGGAAAAAGAGGAGGAGGAGGAGAAGUGGUGCAAAUUUCGCCCAAAAUUGCACUAUUUUGCCCAAUUUUGCACCAUUUCGUCCAAAAUUGCACAAUUUCUUCUUCUCCUCCUCUUCCUCUUCCUCUUCCUUCUUCCUUUUUACACCAUUACACCAUUUUUUACACCUUAAAAAAUUGCAUUCUUUAAACGCUCUCAUCUCCCUCGCCGGAAAGUAGGACUCGGACGGCAAUCUUGAGGGCAUGGAUCCAUUUCUUCAUCUUAGAGUCGAGGGUGCUCCACUCGAUCCUUUGGACCUCCUCGAUACUCAUCUUGUUGACGCCAAGGGCGACGAGGGUCUCUGCGAUGGCGUCGCGGCGGACAGCGAUGUACAUCUGGCUCAACUCCUGGUCGUACCUGGCGCGGAUCAUGCGGCCGGUGACCUCCGCGGGGUCGGCGACGGCAUUGACGUGGAGGAGGUCGGAGGAGAAGUGGUCGGCGGAGAGGGAUCCCCCGCCUCCUCCUUUGCCGCCACUGCCGCGAGAGUCCUCGAGAUUGGCGCCGUGGGGGUGGGGUCGGAUCUGGCGGAGGAGGUGGGGGCAUCGUCGUGGGAGAGCGAGAGGCAGCAGAAGAAGGAGGUGGGUUUAUUGGAGGAGGAGGAGGCGAUAGAGAGGGCGCUGCGGAGGAGGAGGUGGCGGAAGAAAAAAAAUACGAAGGAAAAUAAAAAAAGAAGAGAGAGAAAGAAAAUGAAUAAGAGUAUCUUCGUCCGAUGGCGAAAAAUCCGGCCCGAAUCUACAAAAUUGAAAAAGAUGACUCAGUUUUACAAAAGCUCAAAACUUGUUAAUUUUUUAUGCAAAUUGGCCAGAAAUAGACUAUAUAUAUAUAUAUAUAUAUAUAUAUAUAUAUAUAUAUAUAUAGAAAUAUAUAUGAUUAAUUGCUANNNNNNNNNNNNNNNNNNNNAUAUAUAUAUAUAUAUAUAUAUAUAUAUAUAUAUAUAUGAUUAAUUGCUAAAAAUAAAAAAAUGUAGAUGGAAAAUAGAAAAUUCUUAAAAUUUAGACGACGAAAAGCUCACCAAUGUAUGUAAUACUCUAAUAUUAUAUAGAUUUAAAUAAAUCGCAAAAACUUAUCAUCCAAUGUCAUCACAGAUUUUUUAUUAAAAACGGCCUUCAAAAUUAAUACUCCAAUUAAAAGUUCAUUUUCCCUAUGAUUCAAGGCAUAAUGUCUUUCCCUCCUACUUUCACAUAUUGGGUGACCAUUACUGCUUGAGAAUAGCAGGUCAUCCUUUUUGAGUUAUAAAUUUUAUUCCUUCAUUGAUAAGAAAUAAGUGACUAAGAUUACAAUGAAGUGUCCGAGCAUUGCUCUCAUUAGAUAUAGGGUAAACUUAAAUAUCACUACUAUGAUUUUACACUUUCUCACUUUAGUACCUUAUAGUUUAAAGUGUAUCAAGUUAGUGUUCUUUGGUUUUAUUUUUAUUUUUUCGUCAGCUUUUUCGUUAAUAUUUCGUUAAAUUAUAUACAAAAAACUUCAGAUAUCCUAUCUAGAUUUAUCGAAUAUUUGUUUUAGUACCUUUUAGUUUUAACUUUGUCACUGAUGUAACGAAAAAAAUUAGUGGAAUCGAUAAUAGAAAGAUAAAAAUGAAACCAUAUGGCACUAAAUUGAUACACUUUAAAAUCACAAGGUACUAAAGUGAAAAAGUGUGAAAUCACUCGGGUGGCAUUUGAAGUUUUUUCUUAGAUUUUAUAUCAUAUCUUUUGCUCAAGAAAGUCUAGGCUUAAUUCAAAACUUUCUAUCAAAUGAAAUCGGGCUGAUGGUUUGAUAACUCUAAAUUACGUCCUCGUCUAAGUGGAAUAGUAGAAUCGAAUUUGUUGCCCUUAUAAACAGAUGCCUAAAGAGAAAAUUUAAACUUUUCCUGAUGACUUGGAAAAUCUCCACUUGCAGAGUACUGCUGUAGAUUCUUUGGAAAUUUUAAAAAUAUUAAAAUUAUAUCUGUAUUAAUGUUAAAAAAAAUGUUCUAUUUAUUAAUGUAUAUAUUUUUAAAAGUUUAUUAACAUGUUAAUAACUUACCAGGAUAAUAUUUCAGAGAAUCUAAAAUAUUUUCUAUAUUUUUAAUACUAUAUUACUUUUAUCAAUCAAACAACUAUAGAAUUUUGUUCCAAAGUCCUUGCUGAUUGGGGUAUAUUUUUUACGAGAUUCCAGACUUCCCAACCUCUGUCAGUCUGUCAGAAUUUAAAUCUCAAACUCACGCCCGCCAAAAACCACCACCACCACCGUCGUCCUCUUCACCCCUCCUUGCACGGUGGCAGCGGGUCGCCGCAGAGCCCGGCAUUCCCUCUAAACCCCCCGGCUGGCAGCCGCGCCUUGUGCGGUGGUAUCGGUCCUGUCAGCCGGUUGUCCGACACAUCGAACACCUGCAGCCUUGGCAUGUCGAGCAGCCCCUCCGGUAUCCCCCCUUCGAGCCCGUCCCCUGCCAUCCUCAACUCCGUCAACGACGCCAUCUUCGCCAUCGUCCCUGGUAUCCGCCCCCCCAGUUCCGGGUUUCCUGACACCGCGAACCUCUCCGCCGACCCCAUCGCCGCCAAUUCCCCGACGUCCUUGUCCACCCCUCCCGUAAACCUGUUCCUCGAUAAAUCCAGCGUCGUGUAGUGCCCCAAUGCGUCACUCGUGGCCUUCACGAGCACUGGCCGGAUCGGGCCGUAGAGCUUGUUGUCCGACAGGUCGAGCUCCAUGAGCCUUGCGAGGUUCUUGAAGCUCUCGGGGAUUGCGGACCGGAGCUCGUUGUGCGAGAGGUUGAGGGUGGCGAGCCCUGUCAUGUUUCCGACCCACGGCGGUAACUCGCCGGACAAUUUGUUGCUCGAGAGGUCGAGGACGCCGAGUGAGGGCAUCGCGGCGAGCCAUUCGGGCAUCGGGCAGGAAACGCCGAUCCCAGCGAGGUGUAGCUUGAACAGGCCCGGCAUUUUGCCGAGCCAGCUCGGCAAAGUGGGUUGAUUGAUUGGAUUGAAGGAGAGGUCGAGCAAUUGGAGACUCGGGAGGCCGGCGAUCUCAUCGGGGAUCGGGCCGGUGAGGUUGUUCCUCGAGAGGUCCAGAAUUUGUAACCGAGCUAAAUUGCUGAUGCCGGCGGGGAUUUUUCCGGUGAACCUGUUGUUGCUGAAGAAGAGGGUGUUGAGCGAGGAGAGGCUCCGAAUCGACUCCGGUAUCUUUCCGGUGAGCUCAUUGCCUGAUAGAAACCACCGCUGCAUGCUCCGGAGAUCGCCAAUUGACGGCGGGAGGAUUCCGGAGAGGCGGUUGCUCGAGAGCCGGCAGAAUUGGAGGGACACCAUCUUGGUGAAGGAAUGUGGGAUGGCGCCGGCGAGGCGGUUCUCGGAGAGAUCGAGAAUGGCGAGUUUGAUGAGGUUGCCGAUGGACUUCGGUAUGCUGCCGGAGAUUCGGUUCUUUGAGAGGUCGAGGUAGGUGAGGUUCCGGAGAUUUCCGAUCUCCAUCGGAAUUUCGCCGGAGAGGUCGUUGCUCCGGAGGUCGAGUCUUUCGAGGGCCGAGAGUUUUCCGAUGGACCGCGGGAUCGCACCGGUGAAUUGAUUUUCGUAGAGGGUGAGGAACGUGAAGGCGGGCGAGGCAAAAAUGGAAGGUGGAAUCGCGCCGGAGAGGCGGUUGUCGUUCAGGAGGAGGAAUUCAAGGCGGCGGAGGCCGGAGAAGGACGAGGGGAUCGGGCCGGUGAGGCCGUUGCCGAAGAGGUAGAGAUCAGUCAAUAAGGAGAGGCGGCCGAGGGACGGCGGGAGCGGUCCGGUGAGUUUGAUGAGGUUGGUGAGGCCGAGAAUUCGGAGGCCGGUGAGGUUGCCGAGGGCCGGGGGGAGGGUGCCGGCAAGGGUCGCGACGCCGUAGUCGAGCGCGACGCCUGAUAGGGUGAGGUUGGAGACACGGCCGCCAGCGCCUGCUGGGUCGCAGGAGACACCGUACCAUCCAGCGCAGCAUUCGGCAGCGGCAUCAGCUGCGGACGGGUCCCAGGUGCGGAGGAGGCCCCGGGGGUCGGCGGUUAUGGCGGCUUUGAAUGCGAGAAGUGCCGCGCGGUCCGCGGGGUGGCACGACGCACUACAUUGCAGCGAAAAGCAGAAGCAGAAGAGGGAGAGGAGGUUGAAUUGGAUGGAGAAGAUGCAGGGAAUGAAAUUGUUCCCCAUGAAAGUUGCUGCGAGUGUUAAACGUUUAGUAGUUUCUAUAGAAGUAGAGUUGGGUGAGAGGAUAUUCUUUCUUGUAUGAGGUAAGGGGAGCAAAUUUAAUUGGUAAAAAUGCGUUGUUAGGAAGUGUUUUAUACGGAAUGGUGAUAAUAAUGCGUGUGUUUGUGAGAAUCGAUGCUCCUCCACGUUUUGAACUUUUGAACUGAAGGCAUGCGCUAUAGCUGGCCAACAUCCAUUGAGUAAUCAUUUCAAUUUUUUUGAAAGUCGAAGAGCAACUUUUUCUUGAUUUUAUUGCAACGAGCGCACAAACAGAACCGACAAAAAGCGAUUGCAAAGGAGACAAAUCAAAGAAAUAGUAAGAUAAAAUUAAACACAAGGAUCUACAUGAAAAAAAUUUUUGUUAGGAAAAAAUCAUGGGUAAAAAAAAAAGAGAAAUUCACUAUGAAAAAAGAAGUACAAUAAUUUUGGAGAUUUUAAUUCGAUGUAUCAUCAGCAAAGAAAGAAUAAGUGGCUGAUUUUUGGGUGAGUGUUACCGAAAUGCCUUCAUCCCUUUCCAGACUUAGCUUUCAGAUUAGGACUGAAUGACUUGGGCAACCUUUACCAUUCUUAACCUCAGAAAAGAUCUAAGACUAAAGUCGCUCUCCUUGCCUCUAGAGCAAAAAAUAUGAAAGAAGGUGCUUAAACAAAUUUUAAUUCAUUGCAUCGCCUCUGAGGGCUCCACAAAUAUUCAUUUUUUCUUCAUAAUUUUUUUGUAAAUAUUUGUUGUACUGUGAAACUAACGGUGAAUCAAGCGCACAAAAUCGAACUCAAUAACAAAAUUUCAAGGUACAUCUAACAGAUUUAAAAAAUGAACAUGAUUGAGAUGGUUAGAUGAUGAGGAAUAAAAUAGAUGGUCCGAGGGUGCUGGGUCCUCUUGGAUGUUUUCUUUGAGACACACAUCAUGUGGAGGCAUGGGGUAAUGGAAUAAAGGGCUCUCUUUUGUGUUUUUGUUUACACAAAUUUGGUCUAGUUUGUGUACAACGGAGCAGUGGAGCCCAAAUGAAAGAUGUGGGUUGGUACUUAUUAUUUUAUAUUAUUUUCUUUAGGGAAAACUUCAAAUACCUCCCGUGGUUUCGAACUUCCUCAUUUUAGUACCAUGUAGUUUAAAGUGUAUUAAGUUAGUACCCUGUGGUUUCGCACUUUCUCACUUUAGUACUCUGCGGUUUAAAAUGUAUUAAGUUAGUACUCUGUGGUUUCAUUUUUGUAUCAAGUUAGUGUCCUGUGGUUUUUUUUUUUUCUUUUUAUUAUCCAUCUUGAGAUUUUUUUUUGUUAAAUCAGUGACAAAGUUAAAACUAAAAGCUACUAAAAUGUAUAUACGAUAAAACUAGGUGGGGUAUCUAAAGUUUUUUAUAUAUAAUUUAACAAAAUAUUAAACCACAGGGUACUAAAGUGAAAAAGUGCGAAACCACAGGGUACUAAAGUGAAAAAGUGCGAAACCACUGAAUACUAACUUGAUACACUUUAAACCAUAGGGUACUAAAGUGAGAAAGUGUGCGAAACUACAUAGAGGGUAUUUGAAGUUUUCCCUUUUCUUUAUGGCUUUUAGUUACUCUGCUGGAUAAAUCUGGUUCAUCAUUAGCAUGGGAUAAUUAUUGGUGGCAAAGUAGAGAUAGGAGAAAGAUUCAAAAGGAAUUUUGAAUUGGUAAAGAUGUUAUGAGAGAUUUGAAUGAUCAGAAGAGCUUCUUAUUAUUAAACUAACUAGAAUAUAAAACAUUUGCAGAAUAGGAAUAUAGGACAGAGAGGAGAUAGGAUGUUAACCAUCAAAACUUUGAAUCAUUUUAGCAAAACUCUUUACUAACUCAUUCGCAACUUAAAUUUGUUGUGCUCUGAGAGAGUUUACCACAAGUUUAAUGGAAUAAAAUAAAAUAAAUUAUUACUGCAAAGGCUAUUUAUGAGUUGUUUCCUAUCAAAUAGAUCUUUUAAGUAAUAUGGCAUAAGAAUCGGUCCUAAACCCUUAAUUUCGAGAGAUCAGAGUUUAAUCUUUCCAUCCAUCAUUUGAUAACAUAAUCUUUCAUCGGUUAUCAUCUUUCAUUACUUCUUCUACUGGUGCACACGGUACAAUUCAUCUGUCUUUCACCGUGCACGCGAGCAUAAAUAUUAAGACUAUUUCUGAGUUACUUACUGUUAGAUUUAUGCUAUCGCUUAAAGGAUGACAAAGAAUAUUUCAGCUAUGUACCUCAGAGCAUGCCUAAUAACACAAAUCUUUUUUCUUGUCAUCAUUGGAGGAACUGAGACAAAAGUUUUAGAAACUCUCGGGCCAACUCCUCAGGCACUUUGAUAAUUAUAGGUAUCAAUGAUCUCCAUAAGUACUCCACUGUUCAAUUGGGGUCCAUUGCUUUGCUGUACACAGGACCAAACAUUGCAAGAAAAGCCAGAAGAAAAGACAAAAGCAAGCCUUUUCCAUCCCUUGUGCACUUAUCAUCCCCAUCACCCUUAAUUUAUUCCUACAUCUUAGGUCCAAAGUGUCAGCAUUAAAAUCUGUAUUGAACAAAAUACCCAAGGGGAUCCACCACACUCACACUUGAGAGAGAGAGAGAGUCUAUUGAGUUGUUAUGUUAUUUGGGGACAAUUUCACGACAUUCUUACAAUUAUGACAACUCAUAAUAGAGUUGAGCUUCUGUGCUUUUAAAAGGCACAUAAGCUCAACAUGUUUGCAAUUUUUAGCCGUCGGAUCAACUCAAGAUUCGUGAGCAUUAGUAAAGAAAACUUAAUGAGAUACAUUGUUAAUAGUGUUACAUGAAACUCCGCCAGUUAAAAAGUCACGAGUACAAAUACUCAUAUGCUUUUAAAAGCACGGGAGCUCAAAUCCUCAUAAUAUAAGGAUUAGAAUUUGAAAGUCGGCAUAAGUUGAUAAGUUAUUCAAAAUAAAAACAGUCUAGUAUGAUUGUAAGAAUAAAGUUCGAUCUUUACUCUUUAAAAGGACUUGAUAUUCAUACUUUGAUAGGACAGCAUAUUUCACCUAUAAGGUGAUUAAUCUUAUCCGAAAAAAUGACUUUAAGGCUAAAUAUAGUAGUAUCCAAUUCGUGACAUUUAAUCACAUUCCUCAUUUACCAAAUGCACAUGCUUCUAAUUAAAUUAUGGAGAUGCAUCAAAUAAGAAAUUCAUACAACCAAAUAGGACUAUAACAGCAAAGAUGAUGCCAUGACACCAGAAAAUGAGGUCGGUCAUAUUCUCAAUUUGGUAGUUGUUAUCUCAUAAUUCAUACCACAUUCCAAUACCACUCAUUUUGGAAAGCUAAGAUUGAACUGUUGAGACCAAAUAAAAGUGCAUUGAGAAUCUGAGAUCUGAGGGAGAAUACUAGCAUUGAAACAUAAGGAUUUUGCCUACUGAUAUUCACUCGGCAACUUCGAACGAAAAAAAAAAAAAGGAAAACAGAAAAAAUAAAUAAAUUUUCUCUUCCAAUGCCCGACCUAAGUGAGCCCUUGCAUACUACAGAUGUUUUGAAACAUUGUGUUUUUGUUUGUUCUUCUGUUGUCCUUUUUUGUUACUUGUAAUUUCCUUCUUGUUAAUCUAUUUUCAUUAGAGCCCUACUGACCUUUACCUAACAACGAACAUCAUUUCAAUUACUCGCAUAAUGUUGAAUAAAAUAUGCAUAGAGAAAAAUUGAAGUUCGGAUGGAAUUUCUGCCCAAAAAACCAAUAUAUUAAUAUGCAACAAACAAAAUUCAUUACUCAUUACUUUCACAAGUAUUUAACAAAAUAAUAACGAAUGGAGGAAGCUGCGUGAAGAUUAGAUUUAGAAGAUUCUGUCAUGCUAAAGAAUCGACAUUAAAUUAGGAUUAAUAUUUGAGUGCAAACAAUUGAUUUCUAAGUAUAGAAACUAUGGUCUACAAGUUUUCAAGAAAUAAAUUCAAGAAUUAAAAAAAAAUCAAUUAUUUGUGAAAACUAGCAAUAAAUGCUGCAAAAGACUGGUUAAAUAAAAAAAUCAUAAACAUGUAACCUUUGAUCACGACCUCUCUGCAAACUGCUCAGGCCGCCAAUCCCCCUUCUCCGCACAAAUUAUACCUUCUUGAUCUUUGGAGAAGGUCAAUUGUACUUCCCAGUGAAGCGACUUCAAGAUAUCCGCCACCUCGCUCACAGUAGCGGACUCAUCGCGGAUAAUAAUUUUGCCACCCGGCCUCACAAUCCUAUCGACCUCCACCACAAUAGGCACAAUCGCACAUCUAAAAUUGGACAACCGAAGAACUCUUCUUAAUUACACGAACAAUAAUCAAAGGUUGAAAAAGAAAUUUGAAAAGAGAAUUUACCCACUCACCUCUUUUUUAUGUUUGAGAACAGGUGAUCAGCAUGCAAGAGGUCAUAAGUCCUAGGAUAGGUGCUAAAAGAUUCGCACCAGUCAUGAUAAAUACCAAAGAGGCCCCUCUCAUAGAUGAUUGGUAGUGUAUCUGGAGCAUCGAUGUUCACCACAUUCAUGACCCAAACUUUAAGAUCCUUAAGUGCAGCAGCAAACCUGAAAUAGUUCUUGUGAAUUAACAUAUGAAAGCAGUAAAUAGCACGAGGGAUCCUUGACCUUCUAGCAUAGUUUUAGUCUGAUCCUCAAUGUUUCAAUUGUUACAAUUAGGUUUGGGACCUGUGCAUUUCAUUGCAAUCCAAACCUCUCCAUUCCAUCAAAUUCCUCAAUUAAAUUGGACAGAUUUCCACGCAUUCAUCAUCAAACUGCUACGAUUGAAGAGGUUAAGCUUGCAUAAAAUGCAACAGUUAGUGGUUUAAAUAGAAACCUAACAAAAUGGCUUCGAGGGACCCCUAGUUAGAUUCCGAAGAAAAGAAGUGUUUUUAUGAGUCUAAAGCAUAGAAGCAGUAUUUUACCCGCCAUAGAUAGCUCUCAUGUCCAUAACAUUUCUCACUUUUGACCAGUUAAUGCCAAAGCCACUGAGGUAGGACUUAGUUACUACUUGUUUCCAGUGUUCAUGAUCUGCCGUGAAAUCAUCAGGAGCAGGUUUUCCAUAGAUUCCAAUCUGAGAGCUGUUUAGCCAGAAGGGUGGGACUCGCAGCCUUCUUGGCCAUUCCUCGGGCCACCUUGAGCCCCGCUCAGGUGCAUCAACUGGCACUCGGUGCAAGCAAGUCUUCAAAGGGAUGUACCUGCCAAUAGAAAGAAAAAUAAAGAAAGAAGUUAGAGCGAGACUUACGUAUCGUGAACAGUGAUCAUAGAGAUGUCCUAUAUCUACUUCGUUCGUAAGCUAUAAAAAUAUUUUAUGCUUCAGAGGUGGAGUGAAACUGUAAAAUAUUGAUGUUAUCUUGUAACUUAUUGCGAAUUAGUUCACAUUAAUUUCAGCUCCACAAUCUACCAUCUUCGGUAAAAACAAGUAACAAUAAGAUGAGGUCUAGUGUAAGGAUGAUCAUUAAGUAUACACUCACUUUUUGUCCAAACGGUUUUAUCUGACCAAAUAAAAAGAGUUAGCAAUUCAUACAUACGCCAUGCGUUAAAAAGGCCACGUACUAUACAGGAAACAACAUUUUAAUGCAAAUAUAUGAUAACAAGUUCAUUUACUGAUGAAACUACUCCAGAAACAAAAACGAAAGCUAAGUAGCAAUGGUUGCCAUUUUGACAAAAUUACUUGUUGAAAUGAAAUGUGAUAGUAUGACCCUGUACUGGUAAUUGUUGGAACUCACCAAGCUGCAUUUGGAUCAUCAUCUUCAUCACACAUCGGAGGGUUCUGAUGCUUUCUGGUCUUGUAGCAGUCAUUAGUAGUAGGUUUACGGUAGAAGGCAUCAGCAAUACCAUUCAAUCUGUCCUUUCUAAUGGUGACAAGAUUCCAACACAUGGAGCUGGUAAUAGACAUCAUGACUGGAAAAUAGGAAAUAAGAUGCUAUAACCUCAGUCAUAUCAAAUCAGAUUCACAUUAGGAGAUUUGACUAAUAGACCCUACCCUUCCAGAUUUGAACAUCUUCCUCAAGUUUCUGAUACACAGGCGUUUCUGACCAAAUGAAAAACCCUCCUGGGCGUAAAACACGGUUUAUUUCCAAAAGAAGAGUGCCACCUACAACAGAGUUGCAUUCUCAUAUUAAUUGUCGAAGCAUACAAAAGGCACCAUCAUCGAAACUGAAAAUUGAUUAUCUAGAAUGCAAGUUUUAAGACCAUUAGGGGUCCCUAAUCUUUUAACAUAGUUUCAUUUGGCCCUCUACCUUUAAAUUAUUACAUUUGUCUCCCUAAUCUUUCCACUCCUUUACAACCAAUCUUUCUCUGUUAAAAGAAAAGAAGAUGCCUACUUAAUUGCAACUAACUGCCAAGCAUGUAAUUUUCAGAUUUCUCAUCUUUUGUGUUAGGGUAGGUUUUUCUUACAUGACAGGUACUGAUAAUUACAAGGUGAUUAUGUGGAUUAUCUGUCUCGUUUAACACAGAAAUUUAACCGAAAGGAAAUGGUUGCAACAGACUACUAAGGUUAGGCAACCAAUUGCGGCACUUUCAAUGUUGAGGACCAACUGAAAAUAUAUUAAAAUUAAAGGACUCCUAGUGAAAUAUAACCAGAUAACUACCAUCUGAAUGCCACGGGACACGGCAGCGUGCACAAUGCACCAGAUCGAAAACCUUGCUGGGAAAUGGAAGGCGUUGAGAACCCAUCACGGCAGAUAUUGCUGGGAUUCCCCGCUCUAAUGCAAAUUGAACUUGAGCUUCAUGUUCAUCUUUUGGAGCGAAGGACAUUGCAAGAACAUCUCUCUCGAAGAGAUAACCGCCAAAGCUGGCAACCCCACAGCCUACAUCUAGUAUCACCCUAGUGUGCUUUCCCCAGGCAAGACCAUGAACAGACUACAAAAUAAGCCAAAGAUGUUUCAAGUAAACUAAAGUGUAGUUGCCGAUACCCAAGAAAAAAAAAAUCAAGCUUGCCGAUCUUUUGCAAUUAAGAUAAAAUAGUAUGACAAAAGAAAAAAGAAAACAACUUUGGAGUAUGAUUGUCUGCUCUUAAAAUUGGAAGGAACAUAAAGAAUGUUUCAUAGAGGUUAAUGUUUCAAGCUACGAAUUGAUUGAUGAUAAGCCAACAGUGUUUUGAUGUGCUCCGCACCAACUUUCAGACAUUUGUAUCUUUCUCCUCUAGAUCAUGUCUCCAUCAGUACGAUAUUUUUUGGGGUUACAACCACCCAAAUAGCUUUGUUUCUUUCAAACAAUCCCUCUUUUUCCAGAUUCCACUUGUCCUAGGAUUCCAUUUAGAAUUAACAUCAGGGAAGCAGUUGGCUGUAAACUUUCUAGGAGUUUUCUCAAAUAUGAUUGGAAAUUUUAGAAGCCCGCUUUGCUGUUAAACUCACAGCACCACAAGUAGUUGUUAAUGUCAUUUCGGAAGCUUCUUUUUUUAGCUCUUGAAUUCUCAUUUUAAAUGUAAAGGACAAGCUUCGUCAACUUCCACAACUUUCUUGAUUAACCUUUACAUGAAUUCUUUUCUGUAACCUAAAUAACUCGAAAGAAGGAACUACAUUAUUAGAACAAUAAAACAGAUCAGAAUAAAGUACCUUAAAUGAAGAAAUUAAGUUCUAGAGUUGUGAGAAAUCCAGCUGUCCUACUUAUUAGAACAAAGAUUACGGAACCUCAAAGAAAAGCAGAUUGGUUAUAAAAGGAUCCACACCUGCUGAAGAAAAUCAAUGUAAUGCAGAGCCCCAUGAAUGAAUUGCGUCCCCCCUCCUGGGAAAGAAAGGUACUCUCCUGUAACUUUUACCCAAUUUUGGUGCCCCUUCACCUCCGCGAGCUUUGUAUAAGGUACAUUAUUGUACCAAAUCUAAAGAAGUAUGUUAAAAGGCAUAAAUCAAUACGAUGCUAUGUUCAUAACUAACUAAUGUGCAUAAAACCAAUUCAAUUUCAAAAAUUUGGUAUAGUUCACCCUGUCUCUGCUCUGUGGCCACUCAAUAGACCUCCGAUAACCCUUUGGAAGCGGCACGAGGCAUGUCGGGCUCUCCUCAGGGCAGUGCCGCUCGCGGUGCUCGUAGUGCCUGUAGCUGUGGAUCUUCUUAAGGGCCUUCUUGUUAUCGAGGCAAGGGAUAUAAUCAGCACCAGCAGAGACAUUACACAUCUUCCACUCGAGAUCAAACGAACCCCCCGCAUUCUCCACUGAACCGUCUCCGCCGUCCGAUUGCAGCUCCUCCUCUUUCCUCCGCUCCUUCUCGUUCUCCGACUGGUCAGCCUGAGUCGCCCACGGCCUAUUCUCGCCAUCCCUUUCGCGCUCGUUCCGCACCUCCAAAUCGCCUCCAUUCGAAUCAGGGAGCCUCUCCGCCUCACUCUGCUGCUGGCCUUCCUCGUCACCGCCGUUACGGUUCUUGCCGCCUACCUCCUCUGUCAUCUCUUCAGAUUGAACCUGGCCCUCAUUAUCAUCUCCCUCCGCAUUCGACUUCUCCGACUCCUCCUCGAUCUCUCGUCGGUCCGAAUUGACCACCUGCUCGAUCUUCUCUUCCGACCCCGCCGAAUUCUCCUGCGUCUCCUCCUGCUGCAAUUCUUGGUGCGCUUCCUCGCCGGCGUUCGUCGGGAGCUGCUCGUCGUGCUCCCGCUGCAUCUCCUCGUGCCGCCGCUGCUCCUCCUCCUCCUCCUCCCGCCGCCGCUGGCUCUCCUCCUCCACUCCCCCAUCCAAAUUCCCCUCCUCCACCUUGCUUUCCCGCUCCUUCUCGCUCUCACCCGCCUCCUCUCUCCGCUCCUCUUGAUUCCUCUCCCCAUUGCUUCCCGCCUCCCCCGCCUCCGUCGAACCCUCGCCCCCUUCCGAACCCUUGCCCCCUUCCUCCCCACCUCCGGAGGCCGCGGCAAUGGCGGAGGCGGCGCCCGAUUUCUCCCCCGCUUUCCGAUCCUUCUCGCCCUCGUCGCCGCUCGCCGCCGCGGUCUCAAGCUUCUCCGAUUUCGCCCCUUCCUUGUCAUCGUCCUCCUCCUCCUCCUCCUCCAUCGCUGGGGUCGUCUCCUUCCUCAGACCCCGAGACGGAGUCGAAGAGGAGGAGAAGGACGAGCGAGAGUGGCGAGUUAGGGCUUGGGAGGGAGUAAUCGAGGACGAGGUGAGCAUCCACACCCCCGCGAUACACAGCGCGACGAAGACGACGGUGGCGACGUAGUACGACGACGACGACGAAGAAGAAGAAGAGGACGAAGGGAACGAGCGCUUCCCCCCUCGCGAGCUCCUCCCAAACCCCGCCAUUAAUGGCCACGCGGUAAGCUUUUUGCAACUACGAUCUAGUUCAUCGUUCGAACAACACUAGCACGCUAGUAUAAAGGACCGGAGUACGACUAAAUUGCAAAUCCAGUCCCCAACCUUUUCCAACGAUUCACUUUGGUCCUCAAAUACUUUUUUAAGUUUUAUUUCCUUUUUUCUGCCCCUAAGAUAAUGAGUUUAAAAACUUUUCAGAGACCGAUAUGAAACAUGGUAUAAGUAUAGGGACUGGUAGUGCAAUUUGUCCGAUGAGAGGAGGGGUUGUAAAUUGUAAUGGAAAGGUUCCGAGGAGGGGUGAUAAGAGAGAUCCCCGCGCGGCGGGGGCGCGCUGGGGAGGACACGGGGUGCGCGGAGAGGGGUAGGGGUUGAGAUCCAAAAUUUUGGCGGGGAGGCGCGAAGCGGUCUGUGGGGCCCACUACUUUACAGGUUCGCAGACCGUCGCUGUCUUCCCGUCAGUUUUUUUCGGGUGCUUGAAAAUGCGGACGGACAGCCAGCCAUACCAUACGACUAUACGAGCUGGUAUUUAAUAUGGCAGUUGCAUUAAAAAAAAAAAAAUUACAUUAUUAAAAAAUAGUUUUAGCUGGUAUUUAAUAUGGCAGUUGCAUUAAAAAAAAAAAAAUUACAUUAUUAAAAAAUAGUUUUAGCUGGUAUUUAAUAUGGCAGUUGCAUUAAAAAAAAAAAAAUUACAUUAUUAAAAAAUAGUUUUAGCUGGUAUUUAAUAUGGCAGUUGCAUUAAAAAAAAAAAAAUUACAUUAUUAAAAAAUAGUUUUAGCUGGUAUUUAAUAUGGCAGUUGCAUUAAAAAAAAAAAAAUUACAUUAUUAAAAAAUAGUUUUAGCUGGUAUUUAAUAUGGCAGUUGCAUUAAAAAAAAAAAAAUUACAUUAUUAAAAAAUAGUUUUAGCUGGUAUUUAAUAUGGCAGUUGUAUUAUUUUAUUUAUACCUUAAGUUAAUUAAUUAUUUUUAAAAAUAUAUAUCGUAAAAUUUCAAAAAAAAAAUUACGGUAAAAUAAGUGCAUUUUAGAGGUACAGUUUAGUUUGUUGAGAUGCCUCUAUCAACAUUCUAGAUUUUUUUUUUUUCCUUGCCCUAAAAGUUAAACUCAAAAGAGAAAUUAUCAUAAAAAAAAACAGAAAAAAAGGUAGACCCUAUACAAGACAAAAUUGAAUAAAAUAAUUAAAAUGACUGAUCCGUCGGCAAUAAAAAUUUAUUACGUUCAAGUCAUCAGUCCAAAAUAUUUAAAUUUAAUUAUUAUUAUUAUAGUUUAGAGUCUCUUAUAUACUCAAUUAUAAUUCCGUUCUUAUCCGAUGUGAGACUAUCGUUUAGGCUCUAACGUCUUCGUCAGCUCAAUCACAUAUACUGUCUAAGAUGAUCAAACGAUGUAAGGCCCAACUCACACUUUCAGCUGAUAAAUCGGUUCUAAUACUAAAUAUAACUACCCAAUCCGCUAACAAUUAUAACUCGUUGAGCUCAAAUCACCGGCCAUAAAUGUUUAAGCCCACUUAUUAUUACUAGCUUUCAUAGUUUUAUAUAUUUCAUUAUAAUUUCAUUUCCAUCCAAUGUAAGAUUAUGGGGAUAUCAUAAUAAACGAGUUUUUAGUUAAAAAAAAAUGAUAAAACUAAUAGAUGAAUUAUAAAUUAUAGUCAAAGAAAAACUGGAGUGCACAUAUGAUACUUAUGUUUUACAUGUACAGUUAGUAUUGCUAAGUAAUGUUAGAAAUGCACCUAUUUUAUGUACAUCUAGAGCACAGUGCCAGGACUUAGAAAUUUUCUCCAAUAUUUUUCUUUACAAACACUCAAACUCCAAAGCAGAUAUCUGUCAAAGGUUUUGUCUAAAUCUUCUAGAAGCAUCUCUACGGGUCUCGAGACUAAUGAUGCGGGAACCGAAAAGUCUCUUAAAGUUUCUAUGUUUCUAGAAAGUGUAUUUAUUAGGACUCUUGGGAGCUCAUAUUCUCUCCUUUUGGCUUGAAGUUUCAUGCCACUUGGCAUCUUUCUAUUUACUUUAUGGGCGACGAGUGGCUUUUAUAUAGAUAUGGCCUCCAUCCCCUCAACUCAAAAUCCUCAUUUGUAAUCCACUUCAAGAGUAAUAGAAGAGCUUUCUUCAUCUCUCUCUUUUAUUCUUAGUCUAGGGUGAGUAGGUUCUAACUUAGCAAGUAGAGAGGUAGGCUUGCUCACUUCGCGAAAGAACGCGAGCGCCAGGUUGGUUAAACAAGCGAUUUAGCUUAAGUCCAUGACAGUUGGUAUCAGAGCGAGUUCGUUGUUGGGGAGCCAUGUCCACAUCGGAAGCUACCGUCGAUAACAUUGUGCCUCAGCCCAGGGCGACCAAGCGUGGUAAGAGCAAGGAGCUACGAACUCUGGAGAAAAGGUCAGCCUCACUUGAAGACCGCAUGAGUAUGUUGAAGGAUUCUGUUGCUAAAGUGGACGAGCACUACUCCAUCCUAACCCGCCAUAUGGGGAUGAUGGAGGACAGGUUGCAUGUCAUAGAGGAUAGCAUUGCGGCUGUCAUGGCCACGUUUCUAAGCAGCUCAAGCAGUUCCGCCAUGACCUCAGUUGUCAUGACGAUGAUAAGAAAGCGCUGAUCGAGGAGAUCGUCUCUCGCAGCGACGAGGUAGAUGACUUCAAGAUGAGGGUGGCGAUCCUUAAAAAGGCAGUUGUUGUAGUAUCGAGACGCAGAAGAAGUACACCCCAAAGAUCCGUGUCCCUGAACCCCAAUGCUUCAAGGGCACACGCGAUAAGAAGAAGAUCGAUAAUUUCCUAUGGCACAUGGAACACUACCUCAAGGUGCUACGGUUGGAGGACGAAGACGGCAAGGUCCAAAGUGCUUCCAUAGACCUCGCUGACGAUGCGAUGCUAUGGUGGCGACGUCAUUCCGCAGAGGCCGCGAAGGGCCAAUGCAAACUAAACACUUGGGAGGACUUCGUGCGUGAGCUAAAGACACGGUUCUACUCAGAGCACGUCGAGUACCUGGCAUGGAGGCAACUUCGACGGCUCAAGGUUUAGGGUUUAGGAUUUAGGGCACAUGGGAACCCUCAAGGAGUACAUCAAAGAGUACUCUAAGCUGAUGCGUGUCAUCACUAGCACGGCUGAGGAGGACAAACUAUUCUUCUUCCUUGACGAUCUCCAACCAUAAACUAAUAAGGAGCUCGUGGCGAGAGACAUCAAGGACGUGAGCUCCGCUAUUGCUUUGGCAGAGAAGCUGCCGGAGUAUGAGAAGCUGGACUUCACUUGUGGCAAACCACCCAAGGCAGGCAAGGCCAAAGGCAGGGGAGAAAAAAGAAAAAGAUCUCUUUUUAUCCUACGGUUGGAGAACGUCAAGGAAAUGAUCAUUAGGCCAAGAGAUCAUCUUUCUCUCUUGGCCCUUGUGAUGUCCUACGGUUGGAGAACGUCAAGGAAAUGAUCAUUGGGCCAAGAGAUCGUCUUUCUCUCUUGGCCCUUGUGACAUCACAAGGGCCAAGAGAUCGUCUUUCUCUCUUGUCUCUUGGCCCUUGUGAGAUCACAAGGGCCAAGAGAGAAAAAAGAAGAAGAUCUCUUGCUAUGUCUGCAGAGGUGAUCAUUGGGUGCGGGAUUGUCCAAAGAAAAAGAUCGUUAACGCCAUCCAAGCCGAGGAGGGUCGAGACGAGGCGGAGACAAAGAUGGUCGCGUUGCGCCUUGUUAGCGUGUAAUAUAUCGAAUCCCUGGAUUGUAAUGCCAACUUUGGUCAAAUUGAUCAAAGUAUGGUACGAAGGCGAUAGACAAAGUUCUCAUAUUGCCUUGAAGGAGUUGGAAUGGUUAGAAGUGAUUUUCAAAAGUAUUUGAGUGUUUUCGGCGCAAACCGAGCGCGAAAACAAACUCCGAAGUGUUAAGUUUGCUGAGACAGUAGAAUUUUUAUUGAGUACCGAAACCAAGAAAGGAGUACCGAUACUCAAUUGAGUUACUGAGUUGGGGGUAUCGAUACCCAGUGCUCGCGUAUCGGUACGUCAGUUCGAGUACUGGUACUCAGUUCUGCGAAGUGCAGAAAUUGAAUGGUUGCAAAUAAUGAAAGGUGGAGGGUCUAUUUGUAAUUGCUGGAACUUAUAAAUAGACCCCAAUACAUUCUCUUCCUUUUGCAUGAGAAAACACUCUCAUUUCUCAUUUCCCCUCAUCUCCUCUCCUUUUCUCUCUAGAAUCUCUCCAACAAGAAGCAUUUGGAAGGGAUUAAAAGGGUGGAUUGGAGCUUUUUGAGGAGAAGAAACUCAAGAACAAGUAAGAGCUUGUGGUGCAAAGUGGUCAAGGUCAGUCUCUUUGCAAGUAUGAGUUAGGGUUUGGUUUCAUUGCCCUAAAAUACAUAUUUUUGGGAUUCUUGAGACAUGAGAACUCAGAGUAAUCCAUGAAUCUCCAAAAAAAGGGAAUGUUUAUCGUUUAUGUAAACCCUAGGGUCAAAAUUAGGGUUUUGUAGGAAAUGAGGUUUAUGAUGAAAUUGAUCUCUUGUAUUCCUAAUUGAAGGAUAAUUCAACGCGUUGGGCAACUCGGAUUGGAGUUUCUACGAGCCUACGACGUCCUAUUGAGGAAAAACGUCGUUUUGCUAUCAUUAGUAUUGGAUCGAGUUAAAUCGGCAACAAUAAAUCGCGGGACGUGAGUUCUCGCUCCUUGGCAUCACUAUGAGGUGAGUGGUGCUAUCCGAAAUAGAUGGAUUCUCUUUAUGUCUAAGUCACCAUUAGGGUUGUAAACGAGCCAAACUCGAGCGAGCUGGAGCCAGCUCGAGCUCGGUUCGUCGUCUUCAAGGUCGGCUCGUGUUCGGCUCGAGCUCGUGACGAGCUCGAAAACUUUGGCUCGUGAUCGGCUCGAAACUUAAUCGAGCCGGCUCGUGUUUGGCUUGUUAGCUCGAGUAUAUAAUGCGACCGAAGUUCGAUGCCGCCGAAGUUCGCUGCCGGAGGUUUGCGAACGGUGAAGAAUCGUUGCCGAGGGUGUGCGAAUGGCAAAGGGAACUAGGGUCUAGGGUUGUGAAAGACUGAGAGAGAUAGAGAAAGAGAAAGGCGGCUGUGGAACUGUGCGGUGCUUGUGUCCUUGUGCGAGUCUGAGAGAGAGAGAAAAAGAGAGACUCAUGUGUGUUGUUGUAAUGCUGUGUGCAGCUAUAGUGUGAAAAAAAUUAGGUAAAAGCUAAUUACGGUUGGGAGUUAGCUGGACAUAGGAAUAGAAAGAGUGGAAUUUAUUUCAUGGGCUUAUGGGCCAUGAGUGAAAAUAAGAAAUUCUAAAUAUAAAUAGGCCUACGGGCCUCUUUUAUAAAUAAGCUGAAUUUUUUAAAAAAAAAUUGGGCUAAAAAUUUAAAAUUAAUAAUCUGUAUUAUAUAUUUAUAAUACAAAUAUAAUUAUAUAUAUAUAAUAUAUAAAAUUAUAUUAAUAUAAAAUAAAUAUAAUCGAGUUGUUAUCGAGCCAAACACGAGCGAGCUAACCCUAGCUUGUGUUCGACUCGUUUAUUAAACGAGCUGAAAAAUUCAGCUCGUGUUCGUGUCACACUCCGAGACCCGCCUAUUUGGUCGGAUUCGGGCACGCCGACAGACCGCCGGAUGGACAGAGUUUUUUCUGUACAUUCUAGGCGUCACAAUCCAUACAAAGCGCGAGGUUCCAACCAGAAACAAUAAUCAAACAAGGAUUGCAUAAGGAAGUAUCAAAAACAUAAAUACAACUAUGCUAAUUACAAGCAUUCAUCCCAGGUUUUACAUAUUACAAUUUUCCUUUACAUUUAACUUCCAAAUACAAUCGAUAAUAUUACAACAUUAUUUUCUUCUUUUCUACAACCCCUAACUAGGCCGACUUUGGGUAUUUCUAUUUCUGGUCUUUGUGAUAGGGCGCUAUCUACGAAGCUACGCUCUUUCCUUGCGCCGCCGAGCCCCUCGCAUGUGAACCUGAAACCCCAAAACCACGUGGGGUGAGAACUAUAUGAAUAUAGUUCCCAGUGGGUACGGCAACCCAAGGAAAGAGCUCGACCCAUCAGAUCCGAAAGAGGCACUGCAAAUAUGUUAGUCCAGCAAUAUCCACAGAUACAUAUAUUUUCAUCAAAUAAUUUAUGCAACUAACAGUUACCAUGUUCAUGCCUCACAACAUGCAAUAAUGCAAGUCAUGCAACUCAACGUGCAACAUGCAAGUAGAUCUAAUGAUUCUACCUUCUAUUUCGCUAUCCACAGCUCAUCCAAUUGACUUCUAAGGUUUUCUCAACUUAGAUUCAUGUCAUUUACAAUUCUGCUCAUAAGGUUUCAUCUACCUUUACCAUUUACUCACAAGGUUUCAUCUACCUCUAUCAAGCUAUCUACCCGACUCAAUCUUGAGUCAAUCAUUUGCGGUGUACCGCGUAAAGCCAUGCUUGAGGUGAAGGACGUCUCGCAUGCACCUCAACCUUAAUUCCACUCAACUAGGAUACCGAAUCCACUCUACUAGGAUUCAACUACAGCUCAUAUGCUUGUCACCCAAUCAACUUAGCUAACCCGAAGGUUCGCCCCGACUCACAGUGCAAUCCAAUAGGUAAGGAGACCUUCCCGCUCACAAACCUGAGACGGUCUGCUGGACAAGUACGUUAGUCCAUCGUGUGAAGACUCUGGAGCUCACUGCUUUGGUGGAGCGACCACCGCCAGGAAAGAACAGACUAUAUGAGUAUAAUCCAAUCCUCUCCAACUAAGGAUACUCUAUCAACUAGGAAUAACAAUGACUCAAGAAAUCCACCAAUCCCAACAUUCAUGUCACAAGUGUCCCUACUACACUAGUAUCACAUGCCACAUAUCAACAACUCAGGAAAUCAUCUAUCCCUAUGUUCAUGUCACAAUGUCUCUACUACACUAGUCCAAAUGCCACUCAAUCUACUUUGACAUUCUAGUUGUCCACAUCGAGUAUUAUAGUUCGUAUGUCCUUGUUUUCCAAUGUCGAGUUCUCUAAUCCACCAAGAGUUUAUCGACCCAAGUUCAACAUGCAUAUUUCAUUUAACAUGAUCCGCAAUAUGUCAACAUGUAUAAUUCGUUUAGCAUAUUCUACAAUAUAUCAACAUGCAUUCAUCUUAGCAUAUUCUACAAUAUGUCAUCAUGCAUUUCAUCUCAAUGGUAGGUAACAUCGACCAACAUAAUAUGAUUCUUGCAUUCAUAUUAUAAUCCACAACCUACCGCUAUACAUAUAUGCAUCAAUAACAAAACCGCAUUCCACUUCGACAUGAAAGCAAGCUAAUAUCUUCGAUGAGCACAACCUACCUCGCAACACUCUCUGAUUGCUCGUCGACACUUGCAAUCAGCCUCCCGCGGCACUCGUGGUCCGGUUCAACCCGAACUCGCAAACGAUCAGUAGCCGCAUAUCAUUCCGCAACCUAGGGUCUUCAAGGGCCUUUAUCUAACCUUCAAUUAGAGAUUAAUAGGGUUCAAUUAGAUCAAAACCCAUUCUUGCCCCAAAACCCCAUUCCUAACCCUAGCAUAAGGAAAUCUCUAAAUAACCUAAAAUUAAAUGGAGAAACAUGCUAGAAUCACUCUAGAUACCACUAGAACAUUUAAGCAUAAAGGAUUUAACUAAAUUCUAAAAGCUUACCAAAAUGCGAAUGCCGAGACGGAAGCACGCCGCUUAACCGGGCAUAAGAAGGCUCGAACCGUCGCCCCACAUGAGUUCCCAUGCCCGCUCUCCACCAAGCUUCCGAAUUUCGGAGUGAGAUCUAGAGAGAGUAGAGAGAUAUCUAGAGAGAGAAAGGGAGGGUUUCUCUCUCCCUCUCCAUGCGUGUAUGUGUGUAGUGUGUGGUGUUUGGUUGAGGAGGAAGGAGGAAGGAGGAAGAAGGGGAGACAAGAAGCUCCUUUUAUAAUCAACAUCCCUCACAUUAAUAUAAUUUAAGUUUAGCAGCUCAGAAUCUGUUCAUUUUCGUCAAAGCCCUUCUGAAUGUCCGUUUGUGCUCAAAUUUGACAGUCAGGCUCAGUUUAAGCUAAUAAGAAGAAGGAAAUUUUAAUCUUUCAGUUUUGACCAUUUUUUAUUACCGAAAAUCCUACCGACUAAAAUCUCUAGUAGAUAGGAAUCGGAUUUUAUUUCUCACUUUUCGGGUGUCAGAAAAAUAUGAAACUUUAAAUCUAGCCUCAUAAAAAUAAUUUCAACAUAUACCCAGACUUUCAUAAUUUUCUGACACUCUGAAUUUUCUGCUAAAAUAUCAGCCCCGUUUCUCACAGAGAAGUCUAAAUCUUCUGUUUUCGUUUCGAUUUCAACACAAGCCAUUCCAGACUUAUAUUUUGUUUCUUUAAGUCCAAUAAAAAUAGUAUCUUACACUAUUUUUAUUUACACUUGCUUUUAUAUUAAAAUUCGGUACAUCAACAAUUAUAAUGUUUGAAUAUCCUUUUCAUUUAUUCUACACUAUAUUUAGAAUGCUUGUCAGUUGGCUUGGCACCGACUAUCUAUGCCACAUUCAUGAAAAGGAUAUUCAAACAUUAUAAUUNGAGCGAGCCGAUCUCGAGCUCAUUUCGAGCCGAACACGAGUUGGUUCGCGAACAACGAGCUGGAUUGCCACCCCUAGUCACCAUAUUGAUCAUGUACGUGUAUAUAUAGAAAUCAUGCAUUGUAGGGUUAAAUAGUAGUAUGCUUAAAUUUCUUGUAUGUUGCUAAAGUAAAGAUAAUGACGUGAAUUGAGAAUGGAACAUUGGACACAUGAAAACUCUAUAGAUGUAUAAACUAAGAUGUGAAUAUUGACAAUGUAGUAAACAUGGUGACAUUAUGACUAAAUGAGUUGAUUAGCACCUUGAAGCAUUGAAUGCUAGAGAAUGGUACACUUUUAGUAUUAUGACAUUAGUUGACAUGGUUUUCUCAUGAUUAGAGGAUUGGAUCAUACUCACAUAUAAUUUGAUGUACUUGAGGAUGGUCGCUCCACCUCAAGCGGUGAGCUUCGGAGUUGUCACACCUGGGCGGUAGUGAAAUUUUUCCCAGCAGAUGGUCCCAUCGGGUUGUAGCGGAAUUCUCCCCGACAAAAAAGAAUUUGGUUUGGUGAGUUGGACUCAACUUAUGGGUUAGCCGAGAUGAUUGGGUUAUGGCAAUAAAAAUGACAUGUAUCAUGAGUAUAAUGGUAUAUUAUUUUAGUUUCAUGUUACAGAUAUAGUAGCUGUAUUUGUAUUAAGUUAUAUAUAAAUAUCCUUGCUUUUUUACUUACGCCUAAUUAGACCUAGUGGAAAAGUCGGCAGAAUCAGCGGUCAAAUUCACUGGAAACUUCUUUUAGUUCUCACCCCACCAUUUUACAGAUCCUAGCGCGAGUGGAGCGAUCUAGGAUCGCGGCAAGGACAUAGAACCCUAGGUAGAGGACCUCCUUGCACUAGUUGUACCCUAUGUUGUCAUCUUUUGUACUUGAUGAAAAACUUGUAAAGGGUGAAUUUGAGAGAUGAACAAUAUAUGUAAUGAUAUUUGGGUAAAUGAUGUAUUUUGAGUUAAUGUAAUUAAUGUUUAACUGUUGGAUGUAGUAGUUAGUUAUUAUUCUCACUCACUCUUGUAUAUUUACCUUGUGCAAAUCAUGCAUAUUGUCGUUUUCUUGGGCAAACUCCUUACGCAUGCUGUUGUUGUGGUUGAGCCUUGGGCGGAUAGGAAAAACUAUGUCUGUUCGGCUGUCUAUGUGCGCGCCCGAACCGACCAAAUAGGCGGUCCUAGGGCGUGACACAACGUGAUCUAGGGGCAGGCGAGCAGCAGCAAGCCGCUCAAGAAGGAGCUUCUGUUUGUGGAUGUGACCCUCAAUAGGAGAGCCACUCGGGCGCUCAUAGACACUGGAGCAACCCACAACUUCAUUACUGAAGCUGAGGCCAAGCGACUGGGCCUCAACCUCGAGAAGGACAUGAGAAAAUUCAAAGUUGUCAACUCGAUGGCACAGCCUAUUGCAGGGGUAGCCAAAGGGGUGAUGAUCACUGUAGGACCCUGGAUGGGUACAGCGAGCUUUACUGCCGCGACCAUCAAUGACUUCAAAGUUAUCCUCGGCAUCGACUUCCUCGCUUCGUCGAAGGCAAUUCCGAUGCCGAAUCUCGAGGCCCUAAGCAUCAUGGAGGAGGCGGCCCCAUGCAUGGUCUUGGCAAGCUGCGGUGAGCCAGCGGCAACUGACACCCUUUACACUCUACAGUUGCGGAAGUGGGUGAAACGCAGAGAAGUUACUUACCUUGCAGCUAUCCGCAAAGUGAGAGAAGAGGACCUCGAGGAGGAGGGCCCUCCAGUAGAGAUUGAUGCGAUUCUGGGAGAGUUCAAGGACGUCAUGUCAUAGGAGUUGCCCAAGAAACUUUCACCUAGGUAGGAGGUAGACUAUAUGAUCGAGCUCGAGCUCGAGCCAGGAGCUAAGUCACCAGCGAAGGCACCAUACCACAUGGCCCCGCUAGCUCGAGGAGUUGCAACGUCAGCUAAAGGACCUCAUCGAUGUGGGCUUCAUAAGGUUAUCGAAAGCACUCUAUGGAGCACCGGCCUUGUUCCGAAAGAAGAGCGAUGGAAGCCUGUGGCUCUAUAUUAACUACAGAGCGCUCAACAAGGUGAUGGUAAAGAACAAGUAUCCUAUUCCCCUGGUUGCAGUUUUUUUUUACCAACUUAGCGGAGCGAAGUUCUUCACAAAAUUGGACCUUCGCUCGGGGUAUUACCAAGUCAGGAUUGCGGAGGGUGAAGAGGAGAAGACGACAUGCAUGACGAUAUAUAGAGCCUAUGAGUUCCUCAUCAUGCUAUUCAGCUUGACGAAUGCGCCGGCAACUUUCUGCACUCUGAUGAAUAAGCUAUUCCACCCUUACCUCGUUCGCUUCGUGGUAGUGUACCUCGAUGACAUCGUCGUGUAUAGCAAUACUCUAGAGAAGCACGUCGAGCUUCUUCGAACGAUCUUUCAAGUACUGCGGAAAAAUCAACUUUAUGUCAAGAGGGAGAAAUGCUUUUUUGCUAAAGAGGAGGUGCACAUCCUUGGCAAUUGGAUUGGCCGAGAACAAUUCCGCAUGGACAAGCAGAAAGUGUGGGUAUCUGUGAGUAGGAAGCACCCACGACGGUGUCUGAGUUGCGAUCCUUUCUCGGACUCGUCAACUAUUAUCGCUACUUCAUCGGGGGCUACUCUACUUGAGCAGCCCUAUUGAUGGACUUGCUGAAGAAGACCUAGUCAUGGGAUUGGACCCCUUGGUGCACGAAGGCAUUCGAGGACUUGAAGCGGGCGAUGACAAAGGACCUGGUGCUACAUCUUCCUGACUGCAACCGCCCAUUUGGGGUGCAUACUGACGCCUCGGACUUCGCUAUCACCGGUGUCCUCAUGCAGGACGGGCACCCCAUCGCCUAUGAGAGCUACAAGCUCAACGACACUGAACAGCGGUAUACGGUGCAAGAGAAGGAGAUGACCGCCAUAGUGUACUGUCUCAAGACUGGCGGCACUAUCUUCCUUGGAGCAAGUUUGUUGUGCGGACAGACAAUGUUGCAACGAUCUACUUCCUCACUUAGAAGAAGCUAUCACCUAAGUAGGCGAGGUGGCAGGACUUCCUAGCGGAGUUUGAUAUGGAACUCGUGUACAAAUUCGAAAAGGAGAACCAUGUGGUGACACACUCAGCUACAAAGCAGAGUUGGCAGCAAUGUGCCAACUCCAAGGCGCGAUUAGAGAGCGAAUCCACGAAGGGACUUGCGAAGACCCUGUGGCCCAAGAACUCGUGUGACUCGUCAAGGAGGGCAAAGCGCAGCGGUUCUGGCUUAGCGAUGGGCUACUCCUCACCAAGGGGCGUCGCAUCUAUGUGCCCAGGUAGGGUAAUCUUCGUCGAGAACUUAUGAAAGAGUGUCAUGACUCCAAUUGGGCAGGACAUCCGAGGCAGAAGCGGACCAUGACACUACUCGAGGCCGCCUACUAUUGGCCUCAUAUGCACGACGACAUGGAGGCGUACAUGCGGAUCUAUCUUGUGUGCCAACAGGACAAGGUGAAGCACCAGAAGCCAGGGGGCCUCCUCGAGCCCUUGCCUACACCAACGAGUCCAUGGGAGAGUGUCUCAAUGGAAUUUAUCUCUGCCUUGCCCAAGGUAAGGUUGUUAGGGUCCAUCCGCUUGGUGGUGGACCAAUUCUCCAAGUAUAGGACCUUCAUAGCGGCACCAGCGGACUGCACGGUGGAAGAAGUGGUGCGCUCUUCGUCAGCAACGUGUGAAGCUUUAGGGCAUCCCUGAAAGCAUUGUGAGUGAUUGCGACCCUAGGUUCACGAGCAAGUUCUGGACGGAAGUGUUCCGGAUCUUGGGGUCGAAGUUGCUCUUCUCCGCUAGCUUCCACCCGCAGAUGGAUGGUCAAACGAUGCGGGUGAACGUGUUGCUGGAGAAGUACUUGCGGCACUAUGUUAGUGCCAACCAGAAGGACUAGGUGCAUCACUUGGACGUUGCCCAAUUCUCUUACAAUCUGCAGUGGAGCGAGUCAACAAACUUUAGCCCGUUCGAGUUGGCAAGGGAGAACGUAGCCACUCACUCUACAUUCCGCUACUAAGGCGAGCAGGGCCGCAGCCCCAUGGCCCUCCAAUUCACCUCUCAUUUGCAGGAGAAGGGGGACAUUGCGAGGACCUAACUUGAGAAGGCGGCCUGCCGAAUAAAGAAGUGGGCUGAUGCAAAGCGGGGACCCUUAGAGUUUGCUGAGGGGGACUGAGUUUUGGUCAAGCUGCAAUCGCAACAAUUCAAGACCUUUCAGAAAGUGCACUAUAGGCUUUUGUGGAAGUACGAAGGGCCUUUCACCAUUGUGAAUAGGGUGGGCAAGUCAGCCUACAAACUGCAACUCCCCACCAAUCUGAAAAUCCAUCCUGGCUUUCAUGCUAACUGCUUGCGGCCCUACCAUGAAGACGCUGAAGCCCCGAGCUAGGGCGUGUCGCAGCACGCUCCCGCCACUAUGACUACUACUAUCGACAAGGAGGUCAAAGCCUUGUUGGACACUCACACCAUUCGUCAUCGUGGCGUCCCACGGAGCAUCGAGUACCUUGUCAAAUAGAAGAACCUCCCGCAUGGCGAAGCAAGCUGGGAGAAGGCUGACACUUUUUGGAAGUAUCAGAAGCUGAUUAAUGACUUCCAACACAAGCGUGCGACGAGGGCGACUGCGCAUUAGGUGGGAGAGGUUGUCAAGACAUAGAAAUUUUCUCCAAGAUUUUUUCUUUGCAAUCAUUCAAACUCUAACGCUGAUAUCUGUCAGAGGUUUUGCCUAAAUCUUUUAGAAACAUCUCUACGGAUCUUAGGAUGGCGCGAAAACCAAGAAGUCUCUUAGAGUUUUUAUAUUUCUAUAAUGUGUAUUUAAUUAUUAGGACUCUUGGGAGCUCGUAGCCUCCCCUUUUGGCUUGUAGUUUCAUGCCACUUGGCUGGCAUAUUUCUAUUUACUUUAUAAGCGGCGAGUGGACUUUAAAUAGAUAUGGCCUCUGCCCCCUCAACUCAGAAUCUUCAUUUGUAAUCCACUUCAAGAGUAAUGAAGAGCUUUCGUUAUCUCUCUCUCUUAUUCUUAGUCUAGAGCGAGUAGGUCCUAACUUAGCAAAUAGAGAGGUAGGCUUGCUCACUUCGCAAAGGAAGACGAGUGCCACACGGGCUAAACAAGCGAUUUAGCUUAAAUCCAUGACAACAAGCUUAAGAUCCUAUGGCUUGGAUUCACUUGCUAAUUUUAUCAAUUUAUUUUUAAUACUAGAAAUUUCAAGUGAAUUUUUUAAUCCCUUGGAUGUAACGGUAUAAGAUGUACUUCCAUAUAUGAGAUGUAUAAUUAGCAUUUUUUUAAGUGUUAGUCUUACACCACAUUCAUUUUAUAGUCUAGACUUAUUUACUUAUCUUAUCACUUUUUUCUUCUGUACUAAAAAUUCAAAAUGAGUUUUUUAAUUUUUGAAUUAUCGAGUGUAAGAUGUACAUCCCAUAAUAAAAUGUUAAAGUAGCAUUUUUCAAAAGUUUAAAGUGAAACAUAAUAAACACUUUUUAAAAUUUUAAUAUUAAAAAAAUGAUAAAAUUAGUGUGAAGGUGUUAGUCCUUAGAUAAGUUAUAAGAUUUAUAUCCUUAUUUUGAAUGCACAUGUUGCAUUAUUUGAGCAAUACAUAAUAGGAUAUUAAAAAAAAUUUGCUUUUUUUUUCAAAAAAUAAAAAAGUAAUGCUGCUUGUACAAGAAAGUAAUUUUCUCUAUCACAGUUUUAAUACACUAGAUUUGUAACAUUCCUUCAAAUAUCAUCACAUUGCAUAAAAGUAUAAGAAAAAAAAAAUUUAAAGCCUCAUUGCCUCAUUUCAAUAUGUGUAAAUAUCAUAUUGCUUCUGAUUAGAUUAUUUUUCGCCAACUUAGUACAAUACAAUUAGUUCAGAACAUAUCGUAAGUGUUAUAACUGCUAUAGAGAAAAAAAAGUUUUGCUUGUACACCCAAAAAGAGUAUAAAUCUUAAAUCUUACCAUCUAUAGGUUUAAACAAAUUCCUUAGUGUGAAAAAAAUUAACCGCGAAUGCCGUGUACAAGUAGCACCGCUUCAUUUAAAAACACCUAAUUUAAUAUUUUAAAGAGUUUAAAAUUUUAACAAUAAUGUAGAUUUUAGAGAAAAAUAAACACACACCUCCUCAAUUUUAUUAUAUAGCACAAUAGAACCUUCAACUCAUAUGAAAUUACUAAUUAUACAGUCAUUUUUAUUGUAUGCCUUAUAUCAUAAUCUUAUAAAACUUUAAAAAAUGAUAGAAAAAAUUAUUUCUACUCUAACACACCAAAAAAAAAAAAAAACAACACAAGUCGAAGAUAGGUUAAGUUUGUUCUUCAAUUCCAAUACUUAAUUUAAAAAUUGGAAGAGAAAAAAAGAGGUUUUUUAUAUUUGAAGUCCUACAAAAAUCAUGUAUAAGUGGCGCGAUCAAAAUAAGGCAUACAAUUAAUAAGUUAAAUUAAGAAGAAUAUAUCAAAUUAUGUGAUAAAGUUCAAAAUUGAAGUUUAUGAUAAACAAAACUAAAUUUAGGAGAAUUUUGCACUUUGUCCCGCUAUAUUUUAUUUUGUUUAUGAUAUAAAAUGAUGGUAGAUAUUAUUACCGACGUCGAGAACUCUUUCAAAAUUUUUGAAUCUUCUAAAAUAUCAAAGCGAGUGCACUUUACAUGCUAUAUUUUUAAACUAGGCCCACAAAAUCUACAUAGUCCUACUUAUGGAUGUAAAACCGAACCGGUGGCCCAUUGGCUGCCCGGCCCGGCAGGGCUUAGGGCCCAGCUUCAGCACGGCACGAGUACUAUAGCGCCUGGUCGGCCCCUACCGGAACUUUCGGGUUGUGCUGGCCCUUGAUCUUUGGGCCCAAUGGCCCGGCAUGGUUCGACCCGAAAAGGGCCUAGGCCGCGCCAGGCCGAGGAUAAGCCCGCAGCGCCGCACGGCAUGGUCCGCUUGGGCCGGGCAAAACGAGUCAGCAUGGCCCGGAUCCCCAAGGCCCAUGACAAGUUAGCUUCUGGCCCAGGAGCUCUCCUUACAAAGUCUGUCAAUGCAGACCUUGGGAAUAAUUUUGUUCCAAUGGACCAAACAAUUUUAGCCCAUUAAACCAAAAAUCCAUAUUCUUUUAAAAAAUAAUAAUAAUAAUAAUAAUUUAUAAAUUUUUUAUAAAAAAUUAAAAAUUUGCUAUUUUAUAAUUGUUUUUAUAAAUUUUAAUUUUUUAUGAAAAUAUCAAUUUGAAUGGAAAUAAUUUAUUAUUUUUUAAAAAAAUUUAUAUUUUUUUUAAAAAAAUAUAAAAUUAUUUUUAUAUUUUUUAAAAUUAUUUUUUAUGAAUUUUAAAAAUUAUUUAUAUAUUUUUAAGUACUCUAAAUUAAUUUUAACCAUUCUAAUCAUCAAUUUGAAAUUCCUAUCAUCUAAAACGAUUUAGGAGGACAAAGAAUUCCAUCCUCCUAAAAAAAAUGGUAGCUCAACUCUCUCUCUCUCUCUCUCUCUCUCUCUCUCUCUCUCUCUCUCUCUAUAUAUAUAUAUAUAAGCUUUUCAAGCCUUCGAUUGAGCCUGGUAAUAUUCAAACUCGACUGGAAAUAAAUUUUUUUUUUUUUUCUAUUCAAACUCGUUCAUUUAAUUUUGAGUCGAGCUCGAACGAGCCAAACAUGAGUAGAACAUGAGCCGGCCCACUCAUUUGCCAGCCCUAUCCAUUGAUGAAGUAAAAAAUAUUCUUUUAAGUAAUUUCGUUACAUAUUUUUUAAGCACUGUUAUUAUAAAGAAAUGUUACCUUCCACUACUCAUAGGGGUGGAUAUCAUACAAUUCUUUUGUUUGGAGUAUUUGUUUUUUUAAAGAAAUUAAUAAAAUAAGUGGAUUAAUAUAGAUCAAGCUAUGAAUGCCAACGAAACUACCCACUCAACGCCAGAAAAUUACUAUCAUCCUAACUAGGGAUCACUAUCAUCCUAACCUGUGAUCACUAUUAUCCUAACUGUACAUUUCUUUAUCCAACGGCUGAAAACUUAUGAGUAUGAAAGAAUUUAUACUCAUAAGAAUAUAAUAACUCUACUCUAUUUAUAAUAUCAUAUUUGAUUCGCUCAGAUAUAUCUGUUUAGAUAUAUAACUGCAACCAAAAAAAAUUGUAGUCAAGGCAUUGGUAUUCCACCUAAAUGGAGUAUAAGAAUAUAUAUAUAUAUAUAUAGAGAGAGAGAGAGAGAGAGAGAGAGAGAGAGAGAGAGAGAGAGAGAGUUGAGCUAGAAUACUAUUGAUAGCAAACGGGCUCCGUUGCCACCAAUUUGUUUUCGAUGACGGAGCCUCCAAAUCGACGAUCGGCAGCAUUGAACAUGAUCUAUACCACUUGAAGUGUUUAGAAAUCAAAUUUCAAAUCUUUUCGACAUCAUUUACCUAAUGAUUAAAAGGUUUCAAAAUUUGUAAUUUUAAUGGUCGAUAUGAAACGUUUUCUCGUUUAACGACGUAAAGAUAUUCAAAUCAAUUGAAUUUUUAUUAAAAAAUUCUUUAAACUAUUUAAAACAAGAUCUAUACUCAUGAUCUUGAUUACAAGACUGCUAUCAUCAUUUUUUAAAGAAUAUUCAUUUUUAGCCGUUCAUUUUUGUGUGCACUCGAUGGAUAAGAGAACAAUGUCGAAAAUAUAUGAAAUUUGAUUUCUAAACACUUCAAGUGGUAUAGAUCAUGUUCAACGAUGCCGAUCGUCGAUUUGGAGGCUCCAUUAUCGAAAACAAAUGAGUGGCAACGGAACCCGUUUGCUAUCGAUAGUAUUCUAGCUCAACUCUAUAUAUAUAUAUAUAUAUAUAUAUAUAUAUAUUUAUUUAUUUAUUUAUUUAUUUAUUUAUUUAUUUAUUUAUUUAUUUAUUUAUUUGUGGCUCUAUAGUCCUUUGUGGGAGGACUGGGCACAUAGAGGUAGAAGAGUCAAAGCUCCCAGAUAAUCAAUAAAGACAAAGAGAAAUGAAAUUACAAGCAUUCUCAAAAAAAAAAAAAAAAAAAAAAAAAAAAAAAAAGCAAAAAAUAAGUACCGGCACGGCACAAUGCCGCGGCACCCAUCUGCGUAUUGCGCGAGACACUCACCCGCGUAUGGCGCUGUCUUGUGGGAUACAAAGGUGUGUGCCGCGGCACGACGGGGNAUACUGGUUUAUGCUACAUUAUUUACCUUGAAGCUCUCUUCACUUUAAUUUGAUCCCUUCCCGGAUGAUAUAGCUUGCAGCUCGUAGUGUACAAUUGGGAGUAAUUUAAUCUUCGAUGCUCUCCAAUUGUCCACCUUUGACACUAGAUCCAAUAUAUAUGGACACCUAGAAGAAAGGAAUAUCCAAAUCGGAAAGAAUGUAAACAAAGCUAAAAGUCGAGAGUUUUUAAAAUUGUUAGGAAAUGAAGAUGUUAUCGCAAUAACAGUUGUAGUUUCCUUACCAAUUUAUAGUUUUACUUGCUUAAGCUGUCCAAAGAAAGCCCUAACUGCAUCAAGAUAUAAACAGUCUUCUCAAUAUAGAUCAGUCUCUUUACUAGUAUGCAUCAAAUUCUACUCCAAGACAAUCUGAGUAUACGGCAAAAAAACCAUCAGAAGCAUGUUAGUGAAGGUUAUUGUAAUUAUUACAAUCUAUUAUUGGAAACUUAAUCCCAAAUAUAAAGGGGUAAUUUCCAUGCUUACUAGAUUGGCCCGAUAGACAAGUGAGAACUAGUUUAAAUAUCACUGUUGUGGUCCUUGAAGCACUUUGACUAUCUCCUCGGCUCUUGAUUGGAUGCCUUUAAGAUACUCAAUCAGGAUACGCUGUUGGUAAGAACCUCCUUCCUGUUGCAAAAUAUCAUUUAAGUUAUCCAAAAUUGAAAUGGUAAAAAGGCACAGCAUGAUAAAAGAUAUUCGGGGGUGGUGGGGACUCUAACAUUACCGUGCGAAUUAAUAUUCUCUCUAUUCUUUUCUUGAUAACAGAAUAAAGAUCUUCAGGUGGAACUUGCCCCUUGCCAACUGUCAGUCCAUCGAGCAACAACUUAUUCCAAUUAUUUUCAGGAGCUGCAUUGGAACAACAGAGUGCAAGCAGAUAAAUAUCAAUCCAAGACAAAAUGUAGUGAGAUUAUAAAUAAGCUAUAUCUCAGGUGAAAAGGUAAUGGCCAAACAUACACGUGUUUCCUUGGUUAGCUUUUCAAGAGGAAAAACAAUGCACACGGAGUUAAAGUUUUCCUACAUCAUAGGUAAGAUCGGACUACAAUGUGCAGGAAUGCCCUUACAUCUAAUCCAGAAUAUUGCUUCAAGGUUUAUUAUUCAUUCCGCUAUGCAAAGCCCGCACAUUCAAGGGCAAAAAAUAAAGCCGCAUCAACUACUAAAAAGUUUGUAAAGCCCUCUCAAACUCAAAUUUCGUUGUUCACCAUAGUGAAGCAGCGAUGGAACAGAAGUUUGAUGAUCAUGUUAAAUGCUAGGGUCAAGCAAUAAUUGUGUUUAAAAACAACGAAAUAAAGAAAAUAGGAGAUGUUUUUUUUUAAUGCCACAAAAUAGAUGUUCUAUGCUUAAUAUUUGCCACAAAACAGAUGUUCUAUGUUUAAUAUUUGACUAAACACUACAAAAGGAGGUAUUCAACAGCCGCUCUAAGACACAUGAAGUAAGACCAACAGAUAAUCAACAUUGGAAGCUAUUAAUAUUGGUUCAGGACUGGUGAACCACGCCAAUUCUCACAAAAUCUGCUUCUUAUCGACCCCUCAGAACUAAUCUGCCGUUUCUUGUCAAAGAAGUUGAAAAUUUUCAACUUCAAAAUCUAUAAGAAAAUAUCUCUGAUUCAACUGGUUAUUCUUUUUGUUCUUCACUUCCUACAUCCAAACCCAAAAUGAACUGCUCAUAAGUAGAAAGCGAGGGUGCAAACCAACAAAAACAUUGUUCAGCAUAGAUAUAGAAGCAUUCUUCUUUGUUUUUGUACAUAAAUUGGAAAGAGAGGAUGCGAGCCAACAAAAAGCUAAGUAUUCAGCAGGCAUCCACAAUGUAUGACAAAAAAGUAAACAUACAUAUAUUGACUAAUUACAAAUAGAAGGUAAGGCUUGAGAAGGUUAAGUUGAUAAAUACUCUAGUUAAUAAAGCAGUUUCUAAACCAUCAAUAAUAGAGCACUAAGUUCAAAAUAAAGUGAUAUUAUCUCACUCACCCUCAAUUAUCGAUUCAAGGAAUUUUUCUGUCAUCAACACUUCUCCACCUGCAAAUAAGGAAAUGAGUAAGAACUGACAAGAAAUAGACUUUGACUUGAUAUCUACUGUGUACUAUCAUGUUCAAAGGGCUACUUGUUAAAAGAAGAGUAUGAUAUUCAACUGAGUAAUAGCCCAUAUACCAAAGAAAAUUAAAGAGAAAGCAUACUACUAAUUUUCACCAUCUACGAGUAUAAAACCAAGUAGUUGUAACUAUUUAGUAUAUGACAUGGCAAACAAGAGUUGAGCGUAGGCUUAAGAGUUCUUCAACGAAGAAGGUAACAUUGAAUCUACAAUUCCAUAACUGUGACCAGAAUAAGAAAGUAUAACAGUAAAAAAAUACGGAAACUAGAUUUAAAGAAAUAUACAACACUUCUCAUGAACUUGAAGUUUCAUUAAAUGGGCCUCGAGUCUCGACUCCUAAGUGAAAGAAAGAGCUUACAAUGAGAGAAAACAUGUACUAUAAGUAUAUGAAACUAACCUAACAAAUUAUAUGCAGAAUGAAAUUUACAUAAUAAUAUGCGAAAUUCAACAAACUGAAAAUAUGCAAGAAGAAGAAAGUGUGUUACCAUUGAUUCUGCUAAUGAAAGGCCCCUCUUAACCAACAAGAAUUUAAGAAACAUAAAAUUUCUUUCUCAGAAUGAACUUCUACAGUAUUGACGCUUUAAGUAAUUCUACAUGUAAUGAAGCAACUAUGGCUUUAAUUAAGCUGAAAGUAUGUCCUGGUUUAUACAUUUAAUAAGUAAAAAAGCUAGUGCUUCUUCCAGCAUUUAACUAGAAUAGGACAAAGGAUAGCGGGCAUAACACUCUGCCCUGUAAAGAUUCUGAAUAGCUGGUCAUAACUAUUAUUUGAGAUUAUCUUUCAGGUUAUGGCAAAUCACCAAAAGCUCUUCAACAGUUCAUGUCCUGCCACCAAGGGACAAUGUUAAAUAUAAUAGUUCGAUCAUCUGACAUUUCGAGUGUCUACAACUCUUUAUGACAUUCACAUGUAGUGCCUAUCAAACAUAGCAAUCAUCUUAUCAUCUAUAGCUGCCGGAGUAACGUGUCAUUGAAAAAACAGAGAAAUGCAAUUCAAAAUAAUAAAAAAUGUCGAAUAUCCUGACCUUUGUAAGCAUAGCUACGUUUUCGAAGAACUCUGGAAGCAUAUAAUUGCAAGACCUUUUGCAACAUAGCUUCAAGCCCAGGUUUAUCUCCAUCUUCUUUUGCCUGAAUAGACCAGAUCAUUGCAAUGUGGGUAUGCAACAUAAGCAUGCUGGUUGUAUCUAUAGUAGCCAUUAGCAGCCAUAGUAAAGUGCUUAAUAGUAGUAAUCAGGAAAAUCCAAAGAGAUCAUUCCGUGACCAAAGAAUGUUUAAGAGGAAAUAUAGCUAUAAUACAUGAUAUCAUGGUUUUGUCCUUCCACUUUCUCCGCAGCCUCCAAAUAGUUUCUGCUUACUUCAUCUGGCACAAAAUCAGCUCAACAGUCUAAUUACUCACACAAGCAAAAGAUCCUCUCAAUUCUACAAAAUACUCACUCAAAUCCAAAAGCAACUAAAAUCCACGAGAAAUUUAAUCAAAACUCCUGACCAUCUGCAAUAGACAAGUCAAGGAAAGAGAAAAAGAUGUCUGGAUAGUGAUGUCUACUGAACAACCAUUGGCACAGCUAAGUUUAGGUUAGAAGAGCAAUUUUCUGUCGUUUAUGAAUUUUAAAUGCUUGAUGCAAGUUAAAUUUAACUUUCAUAUGCAGAACACAAUGACACAACCGUCAAUUCAGAACUUCUAUAAUAUUUGUUGGGUUUACAACAUUGUUGACCUCAUAUAAAUAUUCAAAAAGCAUAGAGCAACCAUCACAGAUUUAGUUUGCUGCUCGAGUGAACAGGGAUGAUGAACUCAAAUCAUCCAAAGAAUAUAUCCUCAUGAAACUAUGUAAUCUUACAGAAUUAAGUAAUCAAUUGAUCAAAAUUAAUCGAUGACAAAAUUUUUUUAAAGGAUGAGUGCAAACUUACUUGACGUAAUUGGGCAUUAACCUCUGAAAGAAAUCCUUCAUCUAGUUGUCCUUCUUGUUCCCUGCUCACUAAUUCCUGACCAAUCAGAGGAGGCAAUAGUAAAUUCUUCAUGCAGAAGGUGCAGCUCAUGUAGCAAAGAAUAGGCACACCAUAAAGGAGUUCUUACAAGUAGGAUUGCCUCAUAUCUCUUUAAUUAGCAUGAUACAAUUAGUCUAGACAUUAACAACAAAUUAGAACACUAUGUGACACAAUUCCAUAUAUUUGAUUAUUUCCAUUAGGAUAGAACCUUCUAAAACAGAACUGACAAAAUGUUCUCAUUGGAACCAAAGACAUAACCACUUAACCAGAAAUAGAUCGACAAUUUUAACUUUUGCAUCCUAUAAUAAAUUCCCUUAAUUGCGGAGAAACAUUCCUCGACAAAGGCUGCAUCACGAACUACUUAUUUAACUAGAAAAUAGAAAAUAAAUUAACCACUUUUCACUAACUUCAUGCCAAUUUUAUAGUGCAUAAGGUUUUAAUUGCUAUUACCUUUUGCUUUUAGGUUUUAGCUGCUUUUAGCUUUGCUAUUAAAUCAGAGCAAACGGUAUUUAUGAAUACUUGAGGGAAAAAAAAAAAGAAAUUCCCGGGCAGCAAAUGUUGUUUGCCAAUAUGAUUUGUGAAUGAUAUCUGAUCAUACAGAAGUAGAAUAUUGAAUCUUGCCUUAACAUGUAGAAUAAUUUUGUGAAUAAGGUAAAGGUUCUACUCAACAAAAAUAAAAAGGAAGAAGGUAAAGGUGAUCGGUCUAUAAGAUAAAAGCCAUGCAAAUAUCUCUAUAGAACAUUGUGAAUAUGAACCGUUAACAAUGUCCCAACAAAAUAUCAUAGGUAAACUUAGUUGAAGAGAAAGCCAUCUGAAACUAGGUAAAGAAACAUUAUUUCAUGUGGAACUACAGAAACAACUGAUAGUGCUUGAUGGGGAUUAAAAGCACUGUUAUAGUGUUACAGAAAACGUAAUUUUAACUUGUUAAUCCGAUCUGAGUAAAUCCUAUUAUAAUAUUUACUUUUUCCAUCAGUUUGAGAGCCUCUGGGUCUCUUGGAGGCCAUGAAAUCUCUUCAUGUUCAUCCAUCACAGGAUGAAGAAUCGCCUUGAGAACAUCAGUUGCAGACUCUAUCUUUUCCUGAAAAGGAAAAGAAGAACAAUUGAAAAGCACUUCAUGAGUAAUUGAGGGGCAGAGUUUCUGCACUUGCAUAACUAGUUAUUCCAAUCUAAUCAAGAAAUAACACCAAGAAGCACAGACAGGAUCUACACAGGUAACAGGCACCAAAAGUGUUCAAACUACAGCACUUAAUUUAUUAAAAGAAAACCUCAGACACUAGGCUAACUAGUUACUGCAAUAUAGAAAUACAUACAUGAAAGAAAUCACGAAAAUUUUGAAAUCGGUUGUCAGGCAAUUACACAGUAAUGCUUCACUCACAAACAUAACUAAUAAAGCUAGAUAGCAGAUGUGCUACUUCUCCGUGAUAUAGUCACUGGCAAUUUGCACUUGACACUGAGCAAUUGUUGGCAGUUGCAACACUACAAAUGUAAUGCAUCUAGAACAACCCAACUAACUUAUUGAACAAAAAAACAGUAGAAAAGCUUUCUAUUAGGAAACUUGCAUUGGUCUUAUGAACAAGGCGAUCAACUAUGCUCAUGACUGACAAGGCCAAUUCUUCAUAAUCUUUCUGCAACAACCAAAAAACAGAGCAUAUCAAUACACAGAGAUAAAAUAACUGAAGUUAGACGGUAUAAAUAACAGAGAAUUCAGCAAGUCGCAGUUAAAAACCGUGCUUUAUCAUCAUCUGAUUUGCAUGUAUCAGUUCUAGCAGCAAGACGAAUCCAGAAACCCUCAUUGAAUGCUAAUAUAUUUUCAACUACGAGUUGUUCAAGCUGCUCAAAAAGUAAGAAAGGUCAAUCAGUAGUAUAUGUCCAACAAAAUAAAAAUUAAAAUGCUAUAUAAAAAAUAUAAAAGGUGUAAAAUUCUGUCAUAGCUUUCUAUCCAACAAAUAAAAGAGCUUGUUUGGUGAUCCUGAGAGAGAGAGAGAGAGAGAGAGAUGACAAAUGGACAAACCUAUUACCAUGAUAGCAUAUAGUUAAUCAACAUGUGCAAAUGUGAACUAAGAAUGAAUCCGUUAUUCGGACGAAUUCCAGGGGGGUAUUUUCUUUUGUUCUCAGCUUACUGCUAUCACUGGAUUACCAAGAAGAGAGUUAGUUUUGUUUCAGAGGUUUCACAGUAAUUAUUAAGGGUGAUUUUGUGGACUUAUUUGAUCGUCUUUACAAACGUAAGACUGAGAAAGACAGGCUAUAUUAUGCUUGCAUAGCUGUUAUUCUAAUAAUAAGGAGGUCAAUGCCCUGUAAGUUCAAAGACAUUAUCUUGUCGAAUAGUGUUUAUAAAAUUGUGGUGCAAGAGCUUGCUAACAAAUUAUCUCCUAUCAUGACAAAAUGAUGUCAGUCAAGUUUUGUUAAAAAACAGAGUCAUCCUUGAUUAUGAGGAAUGAGCUCGAGGAACCAUAUUGAAGUGUCAGGAAGAAAGCAUACGGCAGGUUAAACUUGGACUACAUGUGGGACGUGUUAGCAAUCUGGAUAAAAAUGGAUAAUUGGAUUAAGGUGCUAAUCAGCUCGUGCAAAGUCAGUGUUCUGUAAAAUGGUAAUCACAAAAAUGAUCAAUAAACUGAAGACCAGAGAGUGCAUUUAACUUAUCCACUUACUUCUCUAGGAUUUGAAUCCCUCAGCAUAUCAAUAAGUCUGUCCGCUUCGACAGUCUUCUUAAAAGAUUUUUCAGCAUCCUGAUCAACUGCAUAGACUAAAGUACUCCUGUUUAAUGAAUUCAGAUAUAUCAUGAUAUGGUUUGGCAUUCUAAUCCAUCAAAACUCAAAAUUGAAAAACAUCUAGAAUCAAAAAAAAAAAAAAAACUAAAUAGUAACUAGUUUUUGCUACUAUUGCCAACUACUAUAGAAAAAAAAAAAAAAAAAAGAAAAAAAAGAAGCAAAGUUUAGUGGACAAAAGAUUAGAAGAGUGCACUUACAAACACAUAUCUACAUGAUUCGAAAUAAAAUUAUUGACCUGCUAAAAACUUUUAUCUCUAUGUAUUAAAAUACUUAAGCUCACAUUAGAAAAUAUUUUGCACAUCUAAAUUUUUGCGGCUUAGAUGGCAACACAUUUGGUUCAACAAGCCUAGCUCUUUGCAAGGUCUUUGAUAAAAAUCCUCCAAAUUCCUUGAUAAUUAGAUUGUAUUAUUGUUCUUCCAUAUUCCUCAAUCUUCACAUGGUUUCAUUGUCAUUUUGCACAAAUAAAAUAAAAUAAUAUAAAAAUCCUAGACCUCCUUCAAUUGGUGAAGUUCUUGGCUGAAACAAAGCCAAUGUUUGAAUUUCCACAAUCAAAACCUCACAAUAGUCUAUGUAAUACGCCAUAUAAUGCCACCAUUUGACACCUACAAUAUUUAAUUCCGAUAUGAGUACCUUAUUCUCUUUUUUUUGUACCAACGUAUUGUUUAGAAAAAGUUGCAAAAGUCUAAUCUGCCAUUUGAAUUUCUUGCUCCUCAUUUAGAAACAUGUCUUUAACCUCACCAGUACAAAAACUCACACCAAACUUAUCUCCGAUCCCACAAACCUGAAACUCCAUCGAUCAACGGGGUUGUGAACUACUGCUACAUCAUUAAAUGCAAGAGACUAAAGACUAAACGAGAAUGCGACCUGCCACCUAGAAACCCUAAAAUCAAUUAAGAUGACACAAAAUCUGAAAUCAAAAUACUCAAUACAAAAUAAUCAAUAUACGAUAAUCUACCAAACAUUGCAAGCUUAUAGAUGAGAACACAAAUUUAAACAACAUUCCAUAAUCAAGAAGCUAAAUAAGAUUAAGCAAAACCACCUUCCACGCUUCUUGGGAUGGAUCAAAGGGUGACCCUUCCACAAUUCCGCACUAAAAUCCACAAAACUCCCCUGCUUCCAUCUGCGCAAUCUCUUCAAGAACAAAGUGUAAACAACAAAAAUUUGAUCAAAAACAAUAUUAGGGCUAAAACAAAGAGAUAUCAAUUCGUCUUCUACAUGUAAUCUUAACCAAAAAAUAAAAAAUAAAAAAUAAACUACCGAGCUAUGAGAUUGUGAUCGGAAUAUGGUGGCGGCGGGAGCUGCGGUGGUCACCGUCGCCAUUGGAGAGGCGAGGGUUAAUGGCGAGAUGCGAACAGAGAGAUAAGCACGCCUCGUCUCCUCCUCUUCGCUGAGGCGCGGGAGAUGAUGUUCACACGAGGGGCUCGAGAAAUGAGAUAACAGGGAUGAGUGAAAAUACAUAGAGACCCCUCUAUUAGAAAAUAUUCUCAAAUGGCCCCUUCGGCUUAUAUCCUUUCCGAAUUAAAUUUGAGUUUAAAUUAAAAUUAAAAAAAUUAAAUUUUGAGUUUAAAUCAUGAAUUAAAUUUAAAUUGGGACAUCAAAGUUGAAUUAACCAAUUAAAAAACUUUAAUUAUAGUGAAUCAAAAUUAAAUUUUAAUCAAUUUAAAGUUAUAAAUUUUGGAUAUCAAAUUUGAAUUAAUAAUUAAGAUAUUUAAUUACGGUGAAUCAAAAUUAAAUUUUAAAUUUAAAAAUAAAAUGUAAAUUAAAUUUUGAUGCGUUUAGUUUAAACAAUAUACUUUAAAUUUUAAAUUUAUCAGAAUUCAAAAAUAUAUAAAAAUAUUCAAUGUAUAUAUUAAAAAAAUAAUAUAAAAUAUUACAGAUAUUUUUUAAUAAAAUAUAAUAUAUAAAAUUUAUAAAAUAUAAUUUUAUUUUAAAUUUUUGGAUAAAUAUGAUGUAAAAUUUUAUAUUGAUUUAAAAUAAAUUAAAAUAAUUUUUACGUGUAUUUGUACAUACACUCAAUUAGUGUGUGUCUAUAGAGAGAGAGAAAGAGAGAGCAGGGCUAAUGUGCUAUUAGGAGCACAGCAGUUCUUGUGCUUCUAACUUUCUAAUCACCCAUCAAAUUUGAUUAAUAAAAAUAUUUUUUUAAAAAGUAUAAUGUGCAGGUAAUCUCAAAGAUCUAAUGUUAUAUUAAUCGGGAGACACUAGAUAAUUUAUGUGACUUUUAUAUUUUAGAUAUUUUUUAAAAAUAUUAAGGUUAAAUUACAGAAAUUUCUUUUUAUAAAUAUUUAUUUAAAAAAAUAAUUAAAAAACUAUAUUUUUACCCUAUCAACAUGCCAAGUUCUUGUAUGUAACCUUCUCCCUCAAGGUUCCAACACUGUUUCAUCCAUUUCUCAUAAUUUAUACUGAAAAUAACUUUCUAAUUAAUAAAAAUAUAUUAAAAAAUUAUAUUUCUUGUAGAAAAAAUAAAAAUAAUUUAGUUAUUUUGUUCCCUCUAGUAAUUUCAUAUUUCUGAAAAUCUUUAUGAUAUUUUAAGAAGGAUUAAUUUCAUAUACAUCCUUAUAAAUAUAAUGAAUUGUAAAUAUAUUCCUACAAAGUUCAACUUUAAUAUGUUAUUCUUGUAUAACUACUGAUGUUUUCAAAUAUGUCCUUCUAAUUAGUUAUCGUUAAAACACUAUUUAUUUUAUAAGUGAAAUGACCUUUUUGCCAUUACAAAUAUGUCGCUCAAAAAGUCUCAACUGUUAAUUGAAGAGAGGUAAAAAGAUCAAUCCACCUUAUUAACUAAUUAGGAUUAAGUAUUUUAUCUAUGGUUAACUAAUUUUUUCUAACGGAUCCUCACGAUAGGAACAUAUUUGAAAACAUCAGGAUUUUUACAGGAAUAAAACAUAAAAGUUGAAUUUUGUAAGAAUAUAUUUGUAAUUCACUAUUUUUAAAAAUAGGAACAGUACAAAAUUAACCUUUUAAAAAUACAAAAUAAGAAAUUUUAAAAGGCCAAUUUGCAUAAAAAAUUCACAAGUUUUAAGGUUUUACAAAAAUGGGCCGCCUUUUUCGAUUUUACAGAUUCGGUCCAAAUUUUCAACAAACUGACCAAAAUACCCUUAUAUUUUUUCUCUCUUCUUUUUUUCUCACGUUUUUUUUUUUCUCGCCGAAGAAGUNCGAUUACGCCAAGGCCGCGCAGCGACCCUUUUUUUUUUUUUUCCUCUCUGACCCUCCACCCGCCGGCCCCACCGCCGGUGACAAAUAAGAAGUGCUUCUCGGGGCCCAGAAGCACGCCAUCGAGGAAGAAGGAGAAAAAUAGUUACACUCCGGCGAGAACGAUGGUUGCGAUAUAGAGUAAGGGAGAGGUCGUUAUAAAAAAAAUUAUAAAGAGAAAAAAAAUAAGAAUAAUAAAAAAUAAAAAUAAAAAAAUAAUUUACAGGAAAAACUAAAAAUCAUAAAAGACUAAAGAAAAUGAUGAAAUUGCAUUGUUGAAAUAAAAUUGCACUAUUUUUUAAAAAAUUUGUACUGUUUUAUAUGAAAGUUAUAGUCUUUGAGACAGAUAUUAUACUCUUUGGAUAAGAGUUACACCUUUUAGGUGAACGUUGCACUAUUUGGAUGAAAUUUAUACUAUUUCUUAUUCUCUUUUUCUUCUUCCUCCUUCUUCCCCUCCGUUUUCUCGUCCUCCUCCUCCUUGUUGCUUUUCCACCUUCUCCGCCACCGUCGCCGUCAAGCGCCCCUCGAUGCCCUCCUUCUCCACCGGCGCCGCUACCUCUCUUCUCUGCCGGCGUCGAAUUCACACCCGAGUUUCGGGAGGAUAGCGCCCACGCCCAUGCCAGGAGCACGCCCUCGACGCGGCUGCCUGCUGGUCUGGGGCGCGUCCCUCACGAUGCUCCCCAUGCUCCGCGCUUUGGACGUGGCGGGAAACGCGCUGGAGCCGACUGGUGGCGGAGGAGGAUGCGGAUAAGUAUGAGAGAUAGGAGAAGGAGGAUAAAGAAGAAAAAUAAUGUAAAUAUCUCUUAAAGGGUGCAGUUUACAUCUCAAAAAGUGCAACAAGAGGAAAAAUAGGGUAAAUAUCUCUCAAAAGAGUAUAUCUUUUAUUUAAAGAGUGCAACUUUCAUCUUAAAUGAUACAGUUUACAUCUCAAAAAGUGCAAUAAAAGAAAAAACAAUAUAAAUAUCUGUCAAAGAGUGCAAUUAUUGUUUAAAGAGUGUAACUUUCAUAUUAAAGUGUGCAAUUUAUAUCUCAAAUAGUGCAACUUACGUUCAUAAUAUGUUCUUUUAAAACAAUGCAAUUUUAUCUUCAUUUUUCUUCUUCUAUAAUUUUUUAUCUUUGUUUCUUUCUUCCUUCUUAUACAAUUUUUUUUUUUGUCACGCCUCUCCGCCAACGGCCACUGUGCCGGCGACAACGCCGCUAAGUACCCCCGUUCCAAGGCUGCGGCGCUGCAGCGACCUCCGCAACGUCAGCAUCGGUGUUGUCGUUAGAGGCGGCGGAGGAGGCGGAGAAGGAGGGAAAAUGAGAGGGCGAGAAGGGCAAGGAAGGACGAGAGAAGGCAAUAGAGAUGUCGUCAUCGAAGAUGGUGGAAGAGGGUCGGAAAAGGGAAAAAAAAAAGAGUUGCGGCGUGGUCUCUGCGAGGUCGGAAGCGAGGAAAAAGGGGGAUGCAUGGGCGAAGGCGAGGGCUAGAGCGAGAGCAUGAGAGUGAGAGGUGAGACGGGCCAUUUCUGCCUCCGCCUCUGCCUCUGCUGCCUUCUUCGGCGAGGGAAAAAAAAAUGAACGAGAAAAAAAAGUGAGAAAAAAUAAUAAGAGUAUUUUGAUAAGUUUGCUGAAAAUUCGGACUGAAUCUGUAAAAUCGAAAAAGACAAUACAUUUUUACAAAAGCUCAAAAUUUAUAAUUUUUUUUAUAUAAAUUGACCAUUUUUAAAAUAUAAAAUUAAAAAAAUAUAUUUAUCUACCGUUUGGUUCGGGGUUAAGGAAAAAAUAGCUAUUCCAGGAAUAUGGUCAAGUUCAAGGUUAAGGUGGGGUUAAAGUUUUUUUAUGUUUGGUUGGGGGUUGGAUUUAGUCUAGGAUAGUGAUAAAUAGUGUUUGGUUGGAGUAGGUAGGAUAAGAAGAAUAAUGAUUGAUAAAGAGAGUAAAAUUACUAAAAUACCCUCACUUUAAUCAUUUGAAUUAAAUAAUUUGCUUUUAUUUUAUAAAUUCUUUGAUGGCAAUUAGUUUUAAUGAGUAAAGUAAAUUUAAUUAUUUUAUAAAUUUUUUUAUUUUAUAAAUUCUUUGAUGGCAAUUAGUUUUAAUGAGUAAAAUAAAUUUAAUUAUUUUAUAAAUUUUUUUAUUUUAUAAAUUCUUUUAUUGCAAAUAGUUUUUUGUAGUUAGUGUCUCCUAAUUUAAAAUCUCCCUAGCGUGCUUGAUUAAUUAUGAACUGAGAAUAUAUGUUAAAAAAGUAAGUUGUUGGUAUAAACUUAUUAUAUUAGCAGUUAAUUAUUCUAAAUUUAUUUAUUUUAUUAUAAAAUAUUUAAUUUAUGCGCUCCCUCUCCUCCUCGCCCCUCUUCCGACAAUGAAACCCUAACCCCGUCCCGGAACUACGUCGUCCAGUUCACGGACUACUUACCGGCGCGUGGCGGAGCACCGCGCCUACCUAGAGGAGGAGCUCCGGGCGCCGCCGGGGGCGUGGCAAUGGAUCGAGCAGCGGAACCCCGCCGCGGCAUUCCCCACCGACUUCGGCGUCCUCGAGAUCCGGGAUGCGCGCCGGAGGGCGGUGAUCGGGGCGAUCAAGGGGCUGGCGCGGGUGAAGGAUGUGCAGGAGCUUCGAGCGGAGGUGGAGGAGCUUCGAGCGGACGUGGAGAGGCUUCGGGCGGAGGUGGAGGUGGAGGGGAAUGAGCUUCGGGCGGAGGUGAAGGGGAUCCGGAGGUUAAGCUUGGGGAGCAAGACGUGAAGCUCCGGGGUGAGAAUAGGAAGGAAGAAGAAGAAGCAACAGAGAAGAAAGAGAAAAGUGGAAUCUUGGAAAGCGUGCGGGAUUAAAGAUGGGAGGGAGGGUGGGGUUAGUAAACCCCACCCCUUAAGGGUGCGUUUGGUUCGCGCUAUCUUUUAAAGAUUCCUAUUAAUCCAAUGAAAAUAAAAAAAUAUAACGGUGUUUGGCUAAACGCACUAAGUAAUCUAGUUGGUAAUAUUAGAUUCACUUGGGAAUAAGAUUCACCCCAAAGUGCUAAUCUCAUUUUCUUGAGGGAGGAUGGGUAUUCUCAUAUUAAUGGAUUGGGAUAAUCAUAAUAUGUCUAAUCUCUUUCUUUCUUCUUACCCGCCGGCUAAUUGAUAUUAUUUUUCUUUACAGUCUAACCUUAUUGUUCUCUCUAAACUUAUUUUUCUCUCUAAAAUUCAACUUUUUUUUUCUCUCUCUAAACUAAGCUUUCUCUCUCUCUCUCUCUUUCUAAAAUUUCAACUCUCCAACUCCCUCUUGUUUCGACUAUAUUUUUCUUUCUAUUUUUUUAAUUAUGCUCUCUCUCUAACUUAUACUCUCUCUCCUUUUUUUCUAAAAAGAUGUUGAAACUUUUGUUAACAUUAUCUAAAAUUAAAUAAAUAAAUAAAUAAAUAAAUUGUAUAUUUUUUGUAAUAUUAAAUAACAUGGCUAAUUAAUAUUACCGUGCAAACCAAAUACAGGAAUUCCACAUUCUUAGUAAUAGGAUGAAUAUGAAUAAGAUUCUCGAAUAUCUUUUAUUCCUAAUAAUCUUUCAUAAUGCGAACCAAACGCACCCUAAGGCUGCGUUUGGUUUGGGUAUAAGUAAGAACUGUUAGUUCUAGGGAUAGGUACAAGUUCAGGUAUAAGCAGGAAUUAGACCAAUUUUGCGUUUGGAUGAAAAUUGGGUUGUUCCUAGGAAUAAGGUAAAUAGUGUUUGGAUGGUUAGAUUGGAACAAGAGGAAUAAGAGUUAUAAUUUGAAAUUAAAAUUAUAUUAUGUAAUUAAUUAACAUCAAAAUAUUAUUUAAAAAUAAAUAAUAAAUUUAUUAUUAAUAAUUAAUUCUAAAUAAUAAUAAUUAUUAGUAAUUAAUUAUAAAUAAUAAAUUAAUAAUAUCGAUUAUCUAUUUAAUAAUUAUUAUUAUUAUUAAUUAUUAAUAAAUAAUAAUAAUUAUUAAUUAUUCUUAUUAAUUAAUUAUAAAUAAUAAAUUAAUAAUAAUAUUGAUUAUCUAAUUAUUAAUAAUAAUUAAUAUUAAUAUUUAUUAAUAAAUAAUAAUAAUUAUUAAUAAUUAAUUAUAAAUAAUAAAUUAAUAAUAAUAUCGAUUAUCUAAUUAUUAAGAAUAAUAAUUAUUAAUAAUUAUUAAUAAAUAAUAAUUAUUAUUAUUAAUUAUUAAUAAUUAAUUAUAAAUAAUAAAUUAAUAAUAAUAUUGAUUAUCAUUAAGAAUAAUAAUUAUUAAUAAAUAAUAAUAAAUAUUAUUAAUUAUUAAUAAUUAAUUAUAAAUAAUAAAUUCAUAAUAAUAAUUUCUAAUUAUUAACAAUUAAUUAUAAAUAAUAAAUUAAUAAUAAUUAUCUAAUUAUUAAUAAAUAAAUAAUUAAUUAUUUAAUUAUUAAAGUAAUAAAUAAUAAUUUAAAUAUAUUAAUUAGAUUAAUUAAUAAUUUACUGCCAUUAAAAUUAAAUUUAGAUUUUAAUUAAUAUUAUUCUCAUCAAGGAACAAGCUAGUUCCAGAAAGCGGGUGGAACAACAGUUCCAACCUUAUACUAGCUUGUUUCAGAAAUUCGGGAACUACUAUUUCCGGAAACCAAAUAUAUCGUUUGGAAAAAAAUAGAAGACCAAAGGCUUAUUCUUCUUUUUGUUCUUGAACCAAACGCUAUCUAGUAUUUGGGUAUAAAUUGGGGGUUAAGGAAUAACCCUUUAACACCAAUCAAACGGUGGCUUAAAGUAGGAAUUUUAUAAUUUAGCCAAAAAUGGGUUGUAUGUACCGUAACUCUCAAGUUUUUUCUCGCGUAGUACAACUGUGUCCAAAACCUGGCAUAGUGUACGGCACACGCACGGUCACAUCACUGCGUGGCUGUUAAUCCCAUCUCCCUCCCUCUCUCUCUCUCUCUCUCUCUCUCUCUCUCUCUCUCUCUCUAUACCUUCACAUCUCCAUUAAUGGAGCAUCAUAACGCCUCCGCCGGAUCUCGCAGCUACACUGACCGGCGUCUUUUCCGAGCUCCUCCUACCCCACCUCAUCAUCAUCAUCAUUCCGUUGUUUCCAUCACAUCAUGCCCAAAAUUGUGCCCAAAAGUGCAUAAACCCAUCGACACUGGAUCACUGAUUCACUGCACCCGUAAAGAAAAAAAAAAUCAAAACAAAAAACAAAAUAGUACUUGCGAGUGUUAUUGUCUUACUAAUGCAACCGAAAAAGAAUAAAAAAUUUUAGCAUUUCUUGCAUAAAAAAAUAGAAAGAAAUAAUAUUUAGCAUUUCACACACACACUGGCACACACAAUAUAUAUAUAUAUAUAUAUAUAUAUAUAUAUAUAUAUAUAUAUAUAUAUAUAUAUAUAUAUAUAUAUAUAUAUAUAUAUAUAUAUAUAUAUAUAUAUAUAUAUAUAUAUAUAUAUAUGAGUUGAGUUAGGAUACUUUUACAAGUAUCACCCCACUGGUGCUAUUAGGUUUUUAACUAUUGGAUCUACUUCUUGAUUACUAAUAGUUCUUGGAUCAAAUACUAUUCUACCUACCACCAUCUACCACCAUCAUCUCAACCUCACAUCUCUUCAUCCAAGGGCUAAAAAUACUAAAGCACCAUGGGGGUGAUACUUGUAAAAGUAUUCUAGCUCCACUAUAUAUAUAUAUAUAUAUAUAUAUAUAUAUAUAUAUAGUUGAGCUAGAAUACUAUCGAUAGCAAACGGGCUCCGUUGCCACCCAUUUAUUUUCGAUGAUCGAGCCUCCAAAUCGACGAUCGGUACCGUUGAACAUGAUCUAUACCACUUGAGAUGUUUAGAAAUCAAAUUUCAAAUCUUUUCAAUAUCAUUUGCGUAAUGAUCAAAGGGUUUUAAAAUUUGUAAUUUUAAAGGUCGAUAUGAGGCAUUUUCUUGUUUAACCGUGUAAAGAUAUCCAAAUCAAUUGAAUUUUUGUUAGAAAAUUCUUUAAACUAUUUAAAACAAGAUCUAUACAAUUGAUCUUGAAUACAAGACUUAUAUCAUUAUUUUUUAAAGAAUAUUUAUUUUCAGCCGUUCAUUUUUGCGUCCACUCGAUGAAAUAAGAGAAGAAUAUCGAAAAUGUAUGAAAUUUGAUUUCUAAACACUUCUUUUUCUUUUUCUUUUUCUUCGUUCUUUCUUUUCUCUCCGACCUUUAUCACCUCCACCACCUUCGCAGCCCUCAACGACGAUAACAAGAGCGGCGCAACCUUUUCUUCCUCCAUCUCCUCCUUUGCCGGCGUUGGCGGCCCUCGGCGACAGUAAUGAGGCAGCGCCGCCUCCUCUUCCUCCAUCUCCACCUUUGCCGACGUCGGAGAAGGAGAAGGAGAAGGAAACCUCAGAGCGGGCCCAAGUGAGGCGGAGCGAACAGAGGCGAUGAAAUCGUUUUUAUGUUUUGAGACUCCGAUGCGACGCGCGGAGUAGAGAGGCUUGCGUUUGUGAGGAUGGAAGUCGGAUCAAAAAGGAGGGCAAGGGAAGAGGAAGAAGAAGAAAAUAAUGAGGCGAUGAGGGUUGAAAAAUAGUGCAAUUUUUUUUUUUCUGAAAUAGUAUAAUUUUCGUCGAAAGAAUAUAACUUUUUAUUUCAAAGAGCGUAAUUUUUUUCUUAAAGAGUGCAACGUUCAUAUUAAACAGUUGAUUUUUUUGUAAAACAUAUGCAAUUUAACAGUACAAUCUUCAUCUUCUUUUCUUUUCUUUGAUUCUUGCACUUUUCGAUAGUAGUAACAAUAUAUAAUAAUUUUUUUAAAAAAAUUUAUUUAUUUUACUUUAUAUUUUUAUUUUUUUCUACCCUCUACAUUUUUGUUCGUCUCUUAGAGAUGGACACGUUUUUUUUGCCUCACCCUCACAAGCGACGAGCACGUUUUUAAUAACGACCUCAUUGUCUCCGUCCGCUCGGCACUCACCCAAGCCCGUUUUAAGUUCUUCUCCGGCGUCGGUGGAGGCGAAGAAAGAAAAAGCGUAAGAGUUAUGUAAUGAGUGUCAGAGAUAGAAUGAGUGUCAGAGAUAGAAGAUGGAAAAAGAGAUGACGCCGCCCUCAUUACGUCGGUGAGGCCGCAAAGACGGUGAAGAAGGUAAUGAGUGUCAGAGAUAAAAAAAAAUAUAAGAAAAGAUGAAAAAAUAAAAAUACUGUGAAUCAGUUGGCUAAAAAUUCAAUCCAAAUCUAAAAAAAAAAAAAAAAAAAAAAAAAAAAAAAAAANAAAAAGGCCCCAAAAGCUAAAUUUUUAUACAAAUUGGCCAACAAAUAACUUACUACUUUUUUAAAAAAGAUUUUUUUUAAAAACCACGGGAACAUUAAUUUGAGGUGCAUAAAGAGCCCAUCCCUUCCUAAAAUUGUAAACGCACCAGCAGCAGUACAGCAGCCUCUUGCACAAGGCUAACGUCUAACGUAUGACGCAACAUUCCUUCAAAACUAUCUCAGUGAUGGAUAAUACAAAACGUUGCCCAUGCCAUGCUCACUCUCAACUGUUCUAAUUCAUACACGUACAACUCAAAACCCUAGCAUGGUGUACGGCCCAAGCAAGGUCAAAUCACCACUCCCUCCCUCUCUCUCUCUCUCUCUCUCUCUCCUGUAUUAAUAAGCCAUAAAAGCAAAAGAGGCCAUGUUCAUUCCUUCACAUCCCCAUUAAUGGUAAUGGUAAUGGUAAUAGUAAUGUCCCAACAAAAUAAAGCGCCGGAUCACGGUGCUACACUGGAACAGCACCUUUUCCAAGCCCGAUCAUUCCUUCCACUCCCAUCAAAUCGAAACCACCGCAUACAAAACAACAGUGUGCAUAAAGUGCGAGCAAAUAUCAUAGAGAAGAUACAACAAGUCACUACAAUAACACUACAUAUGCAUAGUACAUUCUAGUAUGUAUAACACUGGUUAUAUAGCAAGCUAGGAAGCGUUGGUGAAGUUCGUAACUUAUACUAUCAUAAUAUUACACACUCUCAUAGGAAGCGUUAGUUUAGUUCAUAACUUAUAUAUCUAAUAUUACAACAUAGGGUUAAACUCUCUAUUAAAUAUAUCCAACCUUUCUCCCCUUCUAUCCAUCCAUCUCUCUCUCUCUAUAGUUGGAUAGAAAGGUAGAUAGGAGGAGAUGGCGUCGCUAACAAAGACCAAGUAUGCAUAUCCUAACUAUUCUUCACCCUUUUUCCUCCCUUUAAGGCCUGCAGGAGGCAGCGACGUGGGCGAAAGCCGCUUGCCAAUGAACUGCUGCUCCGGCCGACGGACGCCGUCGCGAGGAGGGUCGAAGGAGACAGGAAGGAACUCAUCGUAGCCGCAGAUGAAAACCGAGUUCUUGAAGUGCCUCAGAAGAGCCUCCAGGCCCUGGCAAACAUGAAAAAUUAACCACUACAAAUUUGAUGCACUUAUAGAGAAAUGCAAACUAGUACGAACAAUUUUGAACCGUUUGAAUCGAAACAAUACCUUAGAAGCACUCUCAAUACCAUUACUCCGCUGAAACAAAUAUUCACUCUCAAAGCCUAAAAUUUGCGAUCUAGCAUGAACUGAUCAUUCAAAUUCAACACUCGCACUCACUGUUUUUGAACUAGAAAAGAACUGUUAACCUCAAAAGGUCAUUUGAACUUGAAAAGAACUGUUAAACUCAAAAGGUCAAAUUAAGCUACACAAUUACAUAAAACCUAACUUCAGUUCGAGCACUACUCGUGAAAACACAAACGCGAGAAAAAAACAAAAUAAAAAAAACGAAUUCCCAACCACUGAAUGAACCGCGUGUCAAAACACAGCAUUUUAAUCAUUUACGUCCGCUUAUAGUGUACUCAACACCUCGAUUAUCAAUAACUUGUAACAAAUGAGAGAUCACUUUGAAUCUAUUACACGCCGAGAACACGCGUACGUUGAACACCCAAAACUACGAACUAAAUAGACCCCCUAAAAACAAGCACGGAAUUAGGAUUCCUUUUGAACAGUGCACGUACCUGAAUCCGAGCGUAGGUCACCUCGCACACCUUGCGGGAUCCGUGGAGCUUCCACUCGUAGUUGUGAAGGAACCUAUGCAACCUCCACGCCGCGGCGGGGGUGGUGAAGUUCACAAACGCGUACCCCAAGUUGCUCCCACUCCUAUUUCAACAAAUAUCGAGCACGAAUUUCAACGCAAGCAACGUAACGCGCGGAAGGAAUUAUUGGGUUUUUUUUGUCAUUAAUUGCUACACCUGAAGUCGAUUGGGAGGUAGAAAAAGUCGAACUCGCUGGAGUCGUUUUCCAGCGACCCUUCGCCGUCUUCCCCGCGCUUUAAAUAUCGCGACUUCUGGUUUUCCUCCACACAGUGCUGGUCCAGUAUGCAAAUCAACUUCUCCUUCCUUCAAUUUUUUUUUUUUUUUUUAAGAACCCACGGUUUAUUACAAAUGAAACUAUGUAGAGAGAUUAAUAUAAACAUCAAAAAUAAAUACUCUUACGUGAAUUUGUUGGGCAGGUUCUUGAUCAUGACCGUGGUCUUGUUCUCUUCAUUACAACCGAACUCGAAUUCUGCGCACGCCCUCCUCUUCUGCAACAGUGGCACGGAUGAAUGCAGCAGCUGCGGCGGAGAAGCCGAAGAAGGCUUCCGCCGGCUCUUCGGCUUCGGCUUCGGCGCGAAGAUCUUCUUGCGCCCGAAGCACCCGUAGCUCCUCACUCUCACAUCCUCCUCCGCUGCGUUGGCGGUGGCGGUGGCGUUGUCGCCUGCUGUGGUUUGAUGAUCCCUUUCCUUGAACUCUUCGAUAAUGGCUCUCUGGCCAGGGAACGAUAGGGGGGGUGAGGUGAAGUGGUGGUGGUAGUAGCAGGAGUAGAGGGUUUGGGGGAGCGGGUGGUAGUAGUAGAAGGGUUGAGGGGGCGGAGAGGAGGCGUAGAGGAGGGAGGUGUGGGAGGGGGUUUGGUGGUACUCGAAGUAGAAGGGUUGUUGUUGCUGUUGUUGUUGUUGUUGUUGUUGUUGUUGUUCAUGGAAAGAAGGGUUUGGGAGGAGGAGAAGGGGUUGGGAAGAGUACAAAGAGGAAGGUGGGUUGUAGAGCUCUAGCGUAGUAGGAUGGUAGAGAAGCGGCGAGGGGUAGUAAACUGGGGCGUUAGGGUUUAGUGAUGCAGUAGCCAUGGUUGUGUAGAGAAAGAGAGAGAGACAGAGCGAGAGGGAGAGGAGAACAGACAACGAGAAAAAGGAAACAACACAACGAGAAAAAGGGAACAACUGAAGAGGGAUAUUUAUAAAGAAGGGUUUAAUAUACAGAAGGAGAAGGAUUAUGAGAGAGAGAGGGGGGGGGUGGGAGAGCGAUUGGAGGGGGGGAGGGGGGGUGGGGGAUGGUUGGAAAGGGGGGUGGGGUGGGGGAGGGAUUGGAAAGGGGGCGCAAGUCUCAUUAGCAUGUUUUAAUGCAUGGAUUCGGGCUCGGAGAUCAUGCGCAUGUUAGCCUAGCUCUCCUAAGGGAAAAUUUUUUUUUCUUUUUUUUUUCUUUUUUCUUUAACUUUUUUUUAAAAUUUUUGGGUGUAGUUUAAUAUAGUAGUAGUACCUGUCCUAUAAUCUCAUACAAUUAUUGGUAAAAAUAAAUAAAAUUUGUUUUAAUUAUAAAUUAUUUUUAAUUAAUUAUCUAUUUUUUUAAAAAAAAAUUUAAUUUUAUUAUUUAGUUUUUCAAUAUGCUUGAUUUAACCCGGUUAAUAAUAUUAUAAUAAUACUCUAAUUUCAAAUUUUAAAUACGUUGUAUAUCAUAACAGAUUAGCUAGUAUAUAUACAUUGUAUAAUUUUUUCAACUAUAAAUUCUUUAUAGUAGGUAUUUUACUUAAAUUUUGAAGUGAAAAUCACAUUGGCUAACUCAAAUCAAAUAAAUUUAAAAGUUAAAAAUAAAAGCACAAUUUUAAAAGAUUUAAUAGCAGAUUCAAAAUGGUCACUAGUUCAGAUAAAUUAUGUACAUUUUUACUUAUAUUAUUUUAAAAGUAAUACUAUUUGUACAUUUUUAUAAUAUAUAAAUAUAAAUUUUAUAAUUUUGUCUCUUAAAAAUUCAUAUUUAUUUAUUUAUUUAUCUUUUCAAUCUCUUUUUACUCUUUUUUUUUUUUGAAAAAAUAUUUAACUCUUAUAUGAUAAUAUAAGUAUUAAAUAUAACUAUUAAACUAUCUAAAAGGUUUAUAUAAAUGUUUUAUAGUAAUGUUGUCUUUAUUUACAUUUCUUGACAGGGUAUAAAUUAUACACCCCACUCCUCCAAAAGACUUUUUUUUAUUUUUAUCAACUAUUUUUUUACUAAAAUUUAUAUAAAUUAUUGUGAAUUCUAGAAUAUAAAGAAUGUAAAAUGUAUAUCUAUAUUUACAUUUAUGGAGAGUAUUUUUUAAUUUCUUAUAUCGUGAUCAUGUGGAUUGAAUAAUGGCUCUUAAAGAAAAUUCUAUAUUAUUAAUUUUUUUUGUAAUCUUGAUAUUUUGGAAAUAUAUUCUUCUAAAAAAGAGUAGAUUAUCUUUUGAAUAGGUAAAAAAUUAUUAUAUAUGACAAAAUUUAGAAAUUAAAAUGAUGCGGUGACAAGAACGUGUUCCAAUUUGCAAUAGGUAUAUAGAUUGUCGAAAGACCACCGUUGCAAUAUUUACCGACCGUCCUUAGUGUAAGUAAAAAUGAACUUGUUGAUUGAUACCCGAGAUCCCAAGUUUGAAUUCUAAUUGAUUUAUAUUUCCAGCUAAGUUUAUUUCUAAAUGAAUAAAUAAAACGAGUAGCAUGCUACUUAUCUCUCUCAAAGAAAUAUAUAUAUAGAACUAGGCUACUAUACUAUCGGUAGCACGGAGCGCUUCGUGCUACCAAGUUGUUUUCGAUGAUGCGGUUUCCAAAUCGACGAUCGGCUUCGUUAGACUUGAUCUACACUAUUGAAAGUAUUUAGAAACUAAAUUUCAUAAUUUUUCGAUAUCAUUUACCUAUCAAACAAGUAGUCUAAAAUUGAACGGCUGAAAAUAAAAAUCUCAUGAAAAAUGAUGAUAAAAGAUUUAAAUUCAAGAUCAGAUAUACUGAUCUUACUCUAAAUAGUGAAAAGAAUUUUCUAUACAAUUUUCAUCGCAUUUGGAUUGUUUUACACCGUUAAACUCACAAACACACCACAUCGGCCAUUAAAAUUGUCAAUUUUGAGAUCUUUUGAUCACUAGUCAAAUGAUGUCGAAAAAAUCUGAAAUUUAGUUUCCAAAUACUUUCAAUAGUGUAGAUCAAGACUAACGGAGCCGAUCGUCGAUUUGGAAGCUGCAUCAUCGAAAACAACUUGGUAGCACGGAGCGCUCCGUGCUACCGAUAGCAUAGUAGCCGGACUCUAUAUAUAUAUAUAUAUUUUUUUUCUUUAUUUUUGGCAUGUUUUUUGGAGCCUAUUUUUUUUUUCUUUAAAGGAGAACCUUUUUUUUUUUUUUUUUUUUUUUUUUUUUUUUUUUUGGCGUCGUGCUUUGUUUCACAACUCUUGCAAUAAAAAGAGAACUCGGUUAGAAGGGAUUGGGUGGUGAAGGGGUGUUUGCGAUCUCCUCUGAUUCUGAUUUGCUGCUGCCUCUUCAAGUGCUUUUCUUUAAAAGCAGUUGAGUCCAUUGAAGGUGGACCAGCGAAAAUAAGGGGAUAUUGUUAAUGUUGCUGUUACUUUUUUUGUAUUUUCCAAUCAUGUAACAUUAAUGAAAAUUCCAAUUUCUUAGGACUCAAUAAUUGAAUUGCUAAAAAUAGGAAUUGCGACUACGAAGCUCUUUAUGAAAUUAAGAUUAAAAAACAGAAAAGAAUUAAAAAAAAAGAUCAAAAGAAGAAAUAAAUAUAAAUAACAUCAUGAAGUUUAUAUUGAUAUGAUAUACUAAAUAAAUAAGUAAGUUUGAUUUUCUCUUUUGUACAAUUCAUUUCUUCUUUUUGAUAAUGUAGAUUUAUCAAACUUUUUUGAUAAUGUAGAUUUAUCAAACUUUUUAAAUAAUAAUUAAGAGAGAAAAAUAAAACAAAAGAAAUCUGCUCAUAUAAGGUAAAAUUUAGUUUCUUACAUUAUUCUUUCAUUUAUCUGGAAAAGCAAAAAAAAAAAAAAAAAAUUAUAAAUCUGGAUGAGGCUAAGAAUAAUUUGUAUUUUGAUUUUUUUUUUAUUUUUGAUGAUUAUACUAUUUUUUUGGGGGGUCCAUAAAGAAUUUUAAAAAAUGAGAUAUUGAAAAUUAAAAAUUUAGGCCCAAUUUGAAUGUAUAAAUAUUUUAUUCAGUAUAUCUUAUUAAUUUAAUUAAGAAAUAGAUUUAGUAGAUGAGAAGUAUCUAGAAUUGAAUAUAUAUUUAGCUUUCAAAAUAUUUAAUUAUCCUAUUAAAUUAUAUUUAUUAAAAUCUUUAAAAGAAUAUAAAUCAAACUUAUUUUUUACAAUUAUACUAAAAAUUUCUUAUAAGGAAUAAAUUAUUCCUGAAUGCAUUAAUAUCUUAUUCUUAAUUGAUAAAAAUAUGAUCAAAUAUUUUAAAUAGAAUAAUAUAUUGGGUCUUUUAAGUCAUUUUUCGAUUGAAAUAUUUAUUAUCUUAUAAGUAAAAUAUAUUAUUUUACCAAAUAAUAAAUAUUAAAAUUGUUAGAUUAUAAGGUUUUUUUUUUUAUGAAAGGUUGUGUACUAUAUGAAAGAAUUUGUCCUUUCGUAAGGUUAUAUUUCUUAGUUUAAGAUUGCGUCUCUUAGCUUAGAGUCGUCCUUUAGUAGAAAAAUUCUUGUUUUAUUGAAGAGUUGUGUUAUUUCGUACUCUAUAAAUAAUGAGUACGUUAAUUGUUGGAGUUAUGUAGAUUAAGUUAUAUUAAUAAAUUUUUGUGUAUUAAAAUUUAGAUAUAUUUAAUAAAGUUUGUUGUUUUAGUAUUAAAUACUUUUAUAUUUUUUAAAUAAUUUAUUUAAUAAUUGAUUAAUAAAAAUAUUUAAAAAUAAAAAUAUUUUUUUAUAAUAUUAAAAAAUUUUAUACCAAAUAAACUAUUCUCAUUCAGCCUAUGCAACCAAUUAUUACUGCUCAAAAUUGAUGAUUCGAAAUUCUCGUAAAAGGGACUGUUAAUUAAUAUUAUCUAAUACAUUUAUUACAUAGCCAUUUUUACUCCCGCGUACAAGUGAAACGACUUGUCCAUGAGAUAUAUAGGUAGAGAGAUCCAAACGAGUACGUGCAUGCGCAAGGAAACAAAGAGCUCUCUUGCGUGUCACUCUCGGUCUCCUUUUUUGUGUGAUCUCACUCGAUUGUUUCCAACUUACGAGAUGGGGAAGCUCGAGAAACAAAAUGAGUUUAGAUUUUGUAUAAAUAGAGAGAGAGAGAGAGAGAGAGGUGAGAUGAAAAGUUAUCAUCAGCUGACGAAUUUCCUCAUAAUCUAUUUAUAUUUUUAUGAUUGAGUAUCCGAACAUAAUAUAUACUAUUUAAAAUAUGUAAAAAUUAAAUUACAAAUCUUGUUGACAUCAUUGAUGUUAUGAUCAAAGAGUUUCUAACUUUAUAAUUUUAAUAAUUAUAUGAGGCGUUUUCUUGUUAACGUGGCGCAUAAAGAUAUACAAAACAUUUGAAGUUUAAUUACAAAAUUUUUUAAACUAUUUAAAAUAAAAUCUAUAUUCUAAAUUUUGAUUACAAAAUUCAUAUCAUCACUUUUUGAGAAAUAUUUAUUUUCAAUCGUUCAUUUUGGUAUCCAUUUGAUAGAGUAGACAACAAUAUCGAAAAAAUACGACAUUUAGUUUAUAGAUGUUUCAAGUGAUAUAGAUAAUAUCUAAUAAUGCCGAUCAUCGAUUUGGAGGCUCCAUCAUUGAAAAUAAAUAGAUGACAACGAAACUUAUUGGCUACAAGCAUUUCGGCUCAACUCUAUAUAUAGAGAGAGAAAGAGAGAGUUAUAUUUCUAUAAUAUCUAUAAUGUGCGUGCUCUAGCACUAUUAAAUAUAAAAAUAAAAAGAUAUCAUUUUUUACUAGUUUAAGUUUUCAGUGUUCGGUUGAAGGAUAAAGUGGGAAUAGACCAUUUUAUCCCUCUAAUUCAUCUAAAUACUAGAGGGGGGAAUAGGUUUAUUUAAUCCCCUCUUAACGAAAUAAUCUGAUAAGAGGGAGAAAUUAUUGUUCCACCAUUUUGGGGAAUAACGAUUUCUUUUUUUUAUACCUCUACUAAUUAAAUAAUAAAAUACUAUUUGUUAAUAGAUUAUAUAUUAUUUUAUUAAUUAUUAAUUAUCUAAAUUAAUAAUUAACUAAUUUAAUAAUAAAAUAUCAGGCAAAUUAAUAAUUACUAGUGUAGAGACCCGCGCGAUGUGGCGGAUAAAAAUAUUUUAGUAAAAAUUUAUAGAUUUAAUAAACAUAUUAAAAUGUGAAAAAAAUUUAAUAAUAUGAAAAACACAGAAAAACUUUCAGAACGAAAUUACAAUCUCACGAAAAAUAAUGUAAGAAACAAAAAAAAAAGUAAAAAGUAUAGGAGUAAAAAAAUAAUUAUAUAAAUAGCCUGAAGAGAUAUUUAGAAUAUUGUAAAAAAAUAUAACAAAUAAUAAAAGAUAAACUGAAGAGGCUCAAAUUUAUAUUUAACUACUCAUAUAAAAAGAUUUAUCUAUCCUAUUCUCUUUCUUACCUAAAAUCAGAUUUCUUUUAAACACCAACUAUUAUUGCGUUUAUUUGUGAACAUCAAAAUUUCAAUGCCACUAUAGAAUUAGUACAGAAUGCAAGGGAAUCGAAGAAAAAGUAGUAAGAAAUAUAUGACAGCCAUGUAAAUAAAUUUUAAAAAUAAUAAUAGUUAGUUUUAACUAUCUAAAUUGUAAAGAUCCAUUUUUAUACAUCCAUGAACCAAAUAACCUAUAUAUUAUUUUAGUCUGUCGAUACAAUAGGACAAUUUAAUCAAUGCUCUUAUUAAUUUUACUUUGUCAAUUUUUAUAUAACUCAAAUAACUUAUUUAUGAAUGGUAGUGUACAAUAAAAAAAAACUUAAGGAAUAAAUUCUUCUUUCUUUAAUUAUCACUUAUUAUGAGGCAACGCUUCGUAAAAAAUAAAAAUUAAUGAGCCAGUAAGCCGAAGAGGUAAUGAUUUUACGGAGGAGACGAACGGGCACACUGUGGAGAAGCGAACAAAGAGCAAAGUGAUUAGAGCAUAACAUUUAAUAAGGGGGAAGUCGAAAAGGCAACGAUGCUACGGGGAAGAUGAGCGGACACACUGUCGUGGAGCGAACGAAGAGUAAAGCGAUUGAAGAGUAGAAAUCGAGAAAGGGAGAGACUCUGGAUGUGAGUCCCAUGGGCAAAACUUAAGGAAAGCAAGCCACGUGGAUUAAGAUUAUGGAGAUUAAUAGUGUUUUAUAGAUAUGAGGCAACGUUUCGUAAAAAAUAGAAAUUAAUGAGCCAGUAAGCCGAAGAGGUAACGAUUUUACGGAGGAGACGAACGGGCACACUGUGGAGAAGCGAACAAAGAGCAAAGUGAUUGGAGCAUAACAAUUUAAUAAGGGGGAAGCCGAAGAGGCAACGAUGCUACGGAGAAGGCGAGCAGAUACACUGUGGUGGAGCGGACAAAGAGCAAAGCGACUGAAGAGUAGAAAUCGAGAAAGGGAGAGACUCUGGAGGUGAGUCCUAUGGGCAAAACUUAAGAAAGGCAAGCCACGUGGAUUAAGAUUAUGGAGAUUAAUAGUAUUUUAUAGAUUUAGUGUGCUUAUACAAUAACUAAUAUCUAUAUUGAUUAGUCAAUUAAUAUUUUAACCAAUAUAACUAAUUAAAUAAAAGUGCUUAAUUAAUUUCUUACUUUAUUGAUAUAUUAAUUUAUUAGCUUAGUUUGUUAACUUAUCAAAUUAUUUAUAGUUAGUUAAUUUAUUAAUUAAUAUUACUCGUGAUUAAUUAAUUAAUGAUUAAUUAAUGUCCUAAUUAAUUUAUUAAUUAACAUUUAUGACUAUCUAAUAAUAUUCAUGAUAAAUUAAUUAAUUAAUUAAUUUAUUAAAUAUCAUUUACUUAAUAUUUUGUUGCCGAUUAAUUAUAUACAAUAUUAUUAUUUAACUAUUAUAAUUACUCUUAUUUCUAUUAUUUCUAUCUAACUAUUCAAACACAAUUUUUCUUAUUCUCGAAAAUAACCACUUUUGAGCCAAAUAUAAAUUAAAUUGAUCUUUAACAACUAUAUAUUCAUAUAUUUCAAUGAAAGGUUAAUUCAGGGAUAUGCGCGCAUUAUGCAUGGACUUAAAAAAAAAAAAAAAAAUCCCCAAACCAAGUGAUACCUCAUACCUCCCACGUUGAUUCCAUUCGCAGAUACGUGAUAUAUCAUAUUCUGGAACUUAUAUGGGCCUGCUUUGGACCUAUAACUCUCUAACAAAACUGUUGUUUGUUUUGAUGUCCUCAGGCUUCACCCAAUCAGUCGUCGAGCCUAGGUAAUCCGGCCCAAAAAGACUUCUUAAUUCCUUACCUUCUGGUGAGUCCGGCUGGGAUACUAUCGAUAACACCAAUGGUUUGAUAUUAGCGAGUUUUCAACCGUUAGAUUUAACUCUUUAAUUAUUUUUACCAGUUAGAUUAUACUAUUCAACCAACCAUCCACUCAACCCUAGUGGCUCCAUAUCAUCCUAAUCGCACAUUUCUUAAUCCAAGAGCUAAAAAACUAAUAGCACCAAUAGCUUGGUGCUAUUAAUAGUAUUCCAGCUUAGUUCCUAGACCUGGCAAUCUUGACCCAAACUCGCAGAUACCCACGGGUUACCCACAAAUUUGCGGGUAUGAGUAUCAAUUUUUCCAACCCAAAAAAUUAUGGAUAAAACGGGUGGGUACCCAUUAAGCAGUGGGCAUUUUGGGUAACCCGUGGGUACCUACGGGUACCCGCACAUAUAUUUUUUAAUUACAAAAUAUAUUUUCUUAAUUAAUAUAUAUUUUUUAUUUAUCCAUCCUAAAAAUUUUAAUCCUAGUUUCUUAUUACGUGUCUUUUAUAUUAUGAAAUAUUUUUGUUUUAAAAUUUUAAAUAUUUUUACUGUAUGUUAUAAUAUUUUAAACAAUGAGUUAUAUUACGCUUUUAAAACUUAUAUAUAUGUGUUUUGCAUUUAAAAAAUAUAAGAGCCAAAAAAAAAAUUUGCGGGUAACCCCCAUACCUACCCGCCCACCCGCGGGCGGGUAUGGGUAAAGAUGUUGACUACCAAAAAAUUUAUGGAUAAAUUUUAUCCAUGCCCAAGUAAACCGCGAGUACAAUAACCCGCCCGCGGGUUAUCCAACCUGCCCGUUUGCCAGAUCUAUUAGUUCCCUUCUAGUUGAACUUCAACGGGUAUUCACUAAAAUAUUUUAUCCUACUAUGUUCAAACACACGGUGAGUAUAAGUUUUUCACUAUAACAAAAACAGUAUACAGCGAUACUUUUAAAUAUCGGUAUAUGUCAAAAAAAACACUGUUGGCUAAAUUACCGACACUUUUUAAAAGUGUUGCUACAUAUGCAGUUGCUAUAUAUGGGGUCACCUUGAUGUCUGGCACCUAGCGAGCUCGGUGGAGUUGGUUGAAUAGAGAAACUUUUUAUUUUUUGUUGGAUUGGAGUUUAUAUUUAAUUAGAGUUUAGUAGUUUUUGUUUAAAAAAUUUGGCAUAAAUGAAACAUUUACAUAAAAGUGUCCAAAAAAUGUAUCCCUAUAAUCUAAUUCUGUUCUAGUAAUUGACAAGUUUGGCCGAGUUACUAAGUGUUGAGUACAAAUGCAUUUAAAUGAGAGAAAUAUAGUAUA